GCUUAAGCCCCACCAAUCAUUUUUUUUAAUCCUUGUAAAAUCAUCAGUUUAUUGUGGGAAUCUUUGCGUAAAAGCCUCUAUCAUCAACCAGAAUCAUAGGAAUAAUUUUUUUUGGGUUCUGAAUGGUUAGCCUUCCAUGCCAUGGUCACAAAAUUAAUCUCGAGUAAUACCCGACCAACUCAAUCUGGAGCCAAUUUAUUAUUUACUCUGGGGAAACCGAACACUGUUUAGCAUUACUAAUUUCUAAUAUGCUCCAAUUAAUUCGAAACGACGACACAUUAAGCAAAAUUUACAGAAUCCGAUUAAAGAAAUGUGGAAUACACAGGCACACCAUGAUCAUAAAAAUCACAGUAAUCAUCUCAUACAUAGACCAAAUUAAUGUUCUAUAAAUCUCUGAUUUGGAAGUUGAAAAUACAAAAACGAGAUGAUUAAUUAGGCAUCACCAUUUCCAUUUGUGUGAGUCUAUUUGACGGUGACUUUUCCGACCAUGCCGGCCCCUUGGUGAGGCGAGCAGUAGAAGGAGUAGGUUCCCGGCGCCGUCAGCUUCACGGCGUAGGUCUCGCCCUUGGCGUUGAGGAGGUCCUCCUCCGACAUCGAGAUCUUCGCCACGUCCACGCCCGCGGGCACCUCGUCCUCGUCGAACACCACGUUGUGGGGGAACCCCGCGUUGUUCUUGAACACGAUCUCCUCCCCCGCCGCCACCUCGAAGUUCUGGGGAUGAACACCAGCCCGCCGUCGUCGCUCCCCAGCGUCACCUCCAGGGCCAGCGCGUUGCCGGCGAUCACGGCCGUCGCGGCAGUCGCCGCCAUUGCCAGCCCCAAGUCCUUCAGGGACGCCCUCGCGCCGACCCUCGGGGGGGCCAUGCGGACGGCGGCGGGCUUCGCGGCCGAGGCGGCGCCGGCCUUCAGCCCGGUGAAGGAGGGGAUGGCGACGGCGGCGGAGGUGAUGGCGGCCAUUGUUUGAUUUUGAUUUUGGAGUGGGGAUGGUUGAUUUUGAGGGUGGUGGGAAAUCAAGAAAUGGGAAGAGGGGAGAGAGGGGGUUAAAUAUGUGGUGGUGGGUUUAGUGUGUGUGGUGUGUGUUUUGAUGAGGAUAAGGAAUGCAUGGAUGGAGAAGUGGGGUUUAUCUUCAUCUCAUUGGUUGAUUUGGAUAUACUAUCCAAUGAUGUGGGAUUGGAUGUUUUGGGAUGUGAGGUGGGAAAUAAAUUGGGUGGUGUGUGUUGUAGAUUAAUCAAUACUUGUCUCUAUGACUAGGAGUUGUGAUGCUUCCUACCUUUGCUAAAAUUGAAUUUUAUUUUAAGAUUUAGGUAAAUAGAUAAGUGAAGAAUGAGAAGGAAAAAAAAGGGGACAAGUGAAGAAAUACUAAAGUUUAGUAUUUCAUUAGGUUGUGUAUUUGAUCUGAAUUUCGAAUACUAUACAUGUCAUGUGACUGAUAACGACUCAAUAAUACUAUAUGUACAUAGCUAUAACACAUUUUAGUGUGCUAGUAAAAAUGAAAUUGUGCAAAAUUUACUGAAUAUAAUACUACUAUUUUUGUAUUUCAUUUGUAAGAAAGCAUCCAUGUGAUAUUAUGCUAUAACACAUUAUACUAUUGAAAUGAAUAAAUAAAUAAAAAUCUCAACGUACUAAAUGUUUCAUAAUGUUAAAUUACAUUGUUGUACUUAAAUAAGUAUAUAUAAAUGAUAAAGCUCUUUUAGAGGGAGUAGAAAUAGGACUCCUAAAAAUAAGAGGCUACAUUUUGAAAAAAGAAAGAAAGAAAAAAAAGAGCAAUACCUCAGAAUGCACAAAUUAAGAGUGAAGAAAUGCUGAAAUGAAGCAGAAAUAAAUUGAAAGACGAGAAGAAAUAUAUAGGAGGAGAAUAAGCAAAAGCUUUUCCAGUACAAAAGGAGGCAAUAGUGUAGUACUUAGAGGGUGUUUGGCUAAGCUUAUUUUAAAGAGCUUAUAAGCUCUUGGAGCUUAUAAGAUGUUUCAAGAGCUUAUAAAAUGUCAUUUUUAAGAGCUUAUAAGUUGUCAAAGUGUUUGGAUAAUUGAGCUUAUAAGCUAGAGAGAGAAUUUUUUUGCUAGAGAGAGAGAAUUUUUUUUAGAGAGAAAAAAUCGAAGAAAAAUGAACUUAAAUGAUAUAUGAUGAAAGUAAUAAAUUAUAGUUGAAAAAUAUUUGUAAAAAGAUUGUUGCAUAUGAGAUUAUAAAAAAAUAAGUUGGGGUGGAGGAACUUAUUUUUUGGGGAGCUUAUAAGCUCUUGGAGCUUAUUUUUGGAGCUUAUAAGCGGUUGAGGAGCUUAUUUUGCCAAACACUUUGAAGGAGCUUAUAAGCUCUUAAACAGCUUAUAAGCUGUUUUGAAGAGCUUAUAAGCUCAGCCAAACACCCUCUUAGUGGUACAACACACAUACAUCGUUUGCGGUUUUGCUACAAGAAUCGUACAAUUCGAACCACGACAAACAGUGUUAGGCAUUAUUAUUAUUAUUGUUAUUAUUAUAUCAAUAACUAAACCAAAUUAAAUGUGAAAUUUCAUCUGAAUCCCCUCAGGGAAAUCGAACGAGUCAUUGUAUUUACAUUUACAUGAAAUUCUAGAAAAUUACGAAUUAGUGAUAUUAUCUACCUCACAACAAUCCAAAGUUGAAACUAAAUAAACUGACCGAAUCUCGAAUUUUUAUUUGUUUCUUAAUUUCUAUGAUUUUAAAUUAAGAAAAAAAAAAAACCUAGAUUCCUGUGUUGUUUUGUUUGAUUAAUUAAGCUUGAUUAAUUUAAUAUAUAUAUAUAAUAUAUAUAUAUAUAUAUAUAUAUAAAUUACAAUUACAAUUUUUAUAGACCAAGAGAAUAGCAUAUUUUUAUAAUCGUAAUUUUACAAGUGUUCGAGUGUAAUAGUAUACAACGAUGACGAUGAGUACCGUCUUACAAAUCCUAACCGAUCAAAGCCAACUAAUUAUUUUCAACAAAUAUUAAUAACACAAACAAUGAUUCUCUAUCAACACUACUAAGGGGGUGUAUUCGUUGUGGAUUUCCACAGACUUUAAAAAGUCCAUGGAAUUUAAAUUCCAUGGAAUUCACAUAGAUUCCAGACGACUUUCAAAGAAUUCGUGGUUGGAUUUCACCCCGAUUUUCACUGAUUUUCGAAGAAUUUAGGGGAUAAUUCUGGAAUUGAAAUCCAUGAUGCCAACGCCCGCUGAGUCCCAGCACCGCUGGAAACCCAGCGACCGCUGGGAAUCCAGCGAGCGCUGGAAACCCAGCAUAUGUUGGAAUCCAGCAUAUGCUGGAAUCCAGACACGAAGCGCGUAGAGAGAGAGAGAGGCAGAGAAUUCAGACUCGCUCGAAUCCAGCAUAUGUUGGAAUCCAGCAUAUGCUGGAAUCCAGCAUAUGCUGGACUCUCUCAACGGUGGCUGAGUUCCAGCGCUCGCUGGCUUCUUGGCCGCGGGCGCUGGAACUCAGCGCUCGCUUAAAAUUUCAUGGAUUUCAAUUCUCGUGGUUCUUGGCCGGAUUUCGUCGUGUGUAUUUUUUGGAUGAAAUCCAUGAAAGUCAUUCCAGAUUUUAAGUCAAUGGAAUAACGAAUACACCUAGAUUUGUAUGGAUUUUAAAAAGUCUGAAACGAAUACACCCAGAUUUAUAUGGACUUUUAAAAGUCUUAAACGAAUACACCCAGAUUUCUGCAGACUUUUAAAAGUCUGGAACGAAUACACCCAGACUUUUAAAAUCCAUAGAAAUCUAUUAAAAUCCACAACGAAUACACCCCCCUAAAUCACAUCCAAAACAAAUCAAUCUGCAACACCAUUUUCCAAUUCAAAAACAUUCUUGCCAAAUUGAAUGUACAGAGCUUCUAAAUUUCUUAUUUCUUUUUCAGCCAUUAAUUAAGUGGAGAAUGGUGCAAUACCUAAAAUGGGCAUUGGAGAGAAACCAUUGUAUAUAUCAAACACUAAUCUUUACACAUAUAUGCAAUAUUUAUUCUACCAACACCAAGAUCACAUCUACAACCACUAAGUUAUAUAGUCCUAUAAGAUCAAUAGAAUGUACACUAGAAGUUGAGAAUACAAGUCACCUCUCAUAUGAGCGGAAAGAUAUCAUCAUCCUUGCCCUCGUCCAUGUCCAAAAACUUGAAGCUCAUACCAUCAAUAGGGUUCGGAUUGAAGCUCGGAUCAACGUAGCACUUCAUCUCGUGGAACAGAUUCAAAUUGUCCACCAGCUUAUGGAAUACAUUGCAUCCGCAACACUAUUCAAAAACAAGAACAACACCAUAAGUGCACGUUCUUCUCCAAAAUACAGUUAAAACCACUAUGAAUUAACACCAGCAUUGGCCAAAACCUAUUGAUCAGAAGAGGUUUAAACCUUUCAACAAUCAAAUAAGGGGCGUUUACUUUUCAUCACUGUUAAGAUCAGUAUAUAUCUCCAAUUCUUACCGUGAUAUGAAUCAAAAAAAUUAGCUCAAAUGAUAGAAAUUAUACAGAGCCUUAAGAAAUCCCAAAGUUCAAAUCAAUCUUAGUAAACCAUGGAUUAGUCUAUACUAUCUUCAUUUAUCUAGACUAAUCCUUAAAAGUAAACUCCCCUCUUACUCUAUAGAAAUUCUUUCGCAUUAUUUCAGUACUUGAAUUGAAGACAUGAUUAGCUUGUCCAAGAACUUGAACACAAUGAACAAUUAGCUAAGGUGCAUUGAUUUGAGACAUAGUAAAUCAUCAAGCAAAAUCAUGAUUAUAAAAAUGGGGACUUUUUUGCUGCAGCGAUUAAAUUGGGGAUUCAAGAAAUGCAAAAAUUGAUGGUAUAUAUACCUGAACAAAGACGGUGCCGUCGGUAUAGGCAUGUGAGUUGAUCGCCCGUGUGGUGCGCUGGCCACAGACGUUGCACGUGAAUGCCACGCGCAUCCGGCGCCGCGGCGAUUUCGUGAAGAGUGACCAUGGGAAAGUGGAGACACGCUCCAUGCCGGAAUUGUGGCCCGACCCGGUCGGCGAUGAUGGGCCUUCCAUACCCGACCCGGUUGUCCAUCCCCUCACAUUGGCCGCGCUCAGAACCAGCCCCAUCGCCGCAUCCUGCAAAUCCAAGGAUCGAGAAAAUUGAGAUUAAUGAAAAUUGCAGCUAAACUGUUCGACGCAAUUACUGACCCAAAAAUCCCGAUGAUCAACUUCUCCGAUUGACCUAAAUUAACGAUUGGGAGCAGCUAAACUGUUCGACGAAUAUACUGACCCAAUAAUCCCUAUGGUUUCAGUUUCCGAUUGAAUCUCAAUAAUUAUUGGGAAAUUGCAGCUAAACUAUUCGAUAAAAAUACUGACCCAAGAAUCCCUUGAUUUCAACUCCUUCGAUAGAAUCUCAAACUAACGUUGGAAAAUUGCAGCUAAAAACAGUUCGAGGAAAUCACUGACCCAAGAACCCCGUGAUUCAGCUCCUCAGAUUAACGAUUGGGAAAUUGCAGCUAAACUAUUCGACGAAGUAAUGAUCCAAAAAGCACCAUGAUUUCAACUCCUCCGAUCGAAUCUCAGAUUAACGAUUAGGAAAUUGCAGCUAAAGAAGAAAAGCGCGAACAAUACUUACCUUUGAAAGCGUGUGAUUACUCAGGAUGGGAACGAUUCCGGAGGCGGAAGAAUCGGGCUUGAGAUCGGGCUCGCCGUUACCGUUACGGCUAUUUCUAUCACCUUGGGAAACAAAAAACAUCACGAUAUCAAAAUUUCCGAUGGUCGAAAAGGAGAAGAGAAAAGCAAAAGGUGCUGACUUUUGGCGGAGGUGGAGAAGCGCACAAGUCGCCGGGAAGAAGGGUCUCUGAAUUUAUCAGGGGAGAACAUCGGCAGCGUUACUGCGGCGGCGCCGGCGGUUGUGGUGGUGAGGGCCUCCAUUUCCGGUGAAUUUAUGCGUGUAAAAACGCUACUAUGAUUUUCUUUGAGCUGGGAAUUUGUGAGGGAGAAAUCGAAGAUUGAAAAACUGAAAUGAACUGGGUUUGAGAGUUAUAUACAGUGGCGAGGUGACCGAUGGCCGACUUUGUAGAAGAUCGGAGAUUGAAGCUGAUUUUUUGAGAGAUUUUUUGUUACAAUUUUGGAAUAUUGGCAUUGUGAUAGAGACAGGAUUAGUGGAUCUGGGCAAUGUUGGGCUUCAUGGGCUUAAUUUGGGCCUCAUUUGAUGAGAGUGGGAAUUGAGUUCUCCCAACUUCGCAAAUAAAUAAAUAAAUAGUGAUUGAUCAUGGAAAAGUAUUGCUGGUCAGGUUUGGUAGAGUCACUGUCAUAUAAUUGGAAUCCAACGUUAAUUUUUAAGUCAAAAUAUCUUGUGUAUACUUUGAUAGUAACUAGUUUACCUCCCGCGCUAUGCGCGACGAUUAUUGUAUAUACUGUAAAAAUAAUAUUUAAUUAAUAAAUACAAAAAUUAAUUUGUUACCUUCCUUAAAGUAAUAAGUGAAAUAUAAAAAUUAUAGAAAUAUACAUGCAUUGCAUAUAUUUUAUUUCAAAUUUUAUAUUUAAUUUUGGUAAACUUUCUCGUCGUUGAGAAUUAUGUGGUUGAGUGAAACCCACACCCGCAUUGGGCUCGCCCAGCCCGGUCCUCCCUCACAAUCAGCCCUUUUAUCCCUUUCCACCUCGGUCAAUUAAACAAAUAAUCAUUUUUUUAAUAUUAAAAAUGUCAUUUGCAUGUAUUAAAAUUAUAAUUUUUAAUAUAUCAUUAAUUUUAUUAAUUUUAUUAAUUUUAUUAAUUUUAUUUAUUUUUAUAAAAAAAGUUACAUAUUAGUAAAUAUUUUACUAUAUCAUCCAUAUUUUAAAAAAAAUAUUUACUUUUCUAUUUUUUAUAUAGAGUAAGAUUUAAUAAUCAAUUACUUAGAUGAGAGAUUGAAACUGUAGGUAUAUAUGCACAGAAACUAUUGUGGUAUAUACCACAAAAUAUAUAUGAAGUACUCCACUAAUCUAAUUUAAUAAUAUUAAAAUUUAAAUUAAAUUAUUAUAAAAAUUUUCUAUUUUUCUUUCCAUCUCGGAACAUACGUAUAUUAUGUUUGAAUUUGUUAAAACUUAAAUUGAUUAUAAUUUAUUUAUUUCAAAUUAAUUUUCUACAUAUAGUAUCAAAUUAGUGGAAUUUAUUUAUAAAUAAUAGAUAUUUGUAUACAUUGUUUCUUUUAUUUUCUUUUUCCUUUUCUCAUUUUUUACAUAAGACAUAUUUUUCUCCAUUUUUAAUUAAGUAUUUAAUAUGGAUUUUAAAUAAAAAAAUAUUUUGUUUAAAAAAUGAAAAAUCAUGAAAAGGGCUUUAAUGUGAGCGUAUUGAUUGGUUAACAUUUUUUUUUCUAUUAAACUGCCAAAAAAAAUUUAGAAGUGUUUUUUUUUUUUGAGAAUUAUUUCCUUUGUUUCUUUUUUUUUCCUCAUUUUUUAUACUAACGACACAUUUUCUAUUUUCAUGUGAUAUCAUGCUUAAUAAAAUAUUAAGUAUACAUCUUAAAUGAAAGUUGUAAAAAGAGCUUUAAUUUGACAUAUAAUAAUUAAAAAUAUAAAUUUAAAAUAAAUAAAUAUUUUUACUUAAAAAAUUAUGUAAUUAAUAAUAAUAUGCGUUCUGUUCAAUUAAAGAAGUAAUGUGCUUUGUUUCCAAUUAACUACCACUAACUCGGAUUGUGCUAUUUAAUUUGUUGAAUAAGGAAUUAUUUUAAAUUCUUAUGUAUAAUAUGUAGAUAUACUUCAAAUUUGUAGUUAUUAUAGUGUUCGUUCAUAAAGUAUUUAAUCUUCAACUAAUUUAAUAAAAAUAGUAUUUGAUAUUCAAUUAGUUCAAUUUACUUACAGGAUUUCCUCGAAAAAAAAAUUUACUUACAGGAUAGACUCCACUUUUUGUAGGGUAUUGAUUGCACUUUAGAAGUCCAAUUAUUUUUAGAUUCUUUUAAUUGUAAUUAUUUAAUACAUUUAUUAUUCCAAGAGUUAAAAUGUUUUUUCUAGAACACCAAUUAAAAAUAUUGUUGAUUUGUUUGGAGGAAUACCAAUUUAGUGCGGUUUUGUAGAAUGGGAAAUCGAAAGUUUUUGCCGGAGCGGUUAUCUAAGUUUCAAUUAUAAUUUUUUCACUUCAAUUCCAAUUAUAUAUAUCCUUGCAAUUGAAUAAAAUUACAAUUACUUUGCUUUUUAUAUAUAUAAAGAUUAUGAGGUUAAUAACAAUUUUUCAUUCUUUUUCAAGGGAUGUUCAAAUAGUACAGAUUUCAAUAUAUAAACAAUGAGAUCUAAAGUUUAAAUUCUAUCGAAUUUUCUCUUUUAGAUAAAACAAAUUAAUUUUGCAUUCUAUUUAAUUGAGUUUUGAACUUUGUAUGAUCGAGUUGAGUCCUUGAAUUGGUUUUAGUUGAUUUAGAACAUAGGUCGGGUUGAUUUUUUUCAGAGAUAUGCAAACCACUACGAGAAGCUAGGCGGAUACCGUCAAUAAAUUUCAAUUUUUCGUCGUUAAGUAUAAUUAUUGACGAAAUACCGACGCCAAUCACUGGUCGCCCUUAAAAUGGUCGGUAUUCAAUUUACCGACGGAAAUUGGAUUCCACCGCUGAAUUACCAACGGGCGGUCCGUCGGCGACUGUGUGACGAUGCCGGCGUUGUUUCCAAUUAGCGACAGAAAAUUUCGUCGGUAAUGCCGACAGAACUAAUUUCCGUCGUUAAUUUAUUCGUUAACGAUGUGUGUAUUCUUUUUUCUUUUUUGGAUGAACGAUGUGUGUAUUCUUAAUGCCAAAGUUCUCACUCACAUAUAUAUACAUAUAUAUAUAUAUACAUAUAAUUUGUAGGGGAUACAAUGGUGGUUGUGUCUUCUUGUAAAUAUAAAUGCUUAAGAUUUUGCUACCAAAAUUGUUUGAGAAAAAAUAGAUUAGAAAAGGAUCAAAAAAUUAAAUAGAUUUGAGUUGACCUCCUUCCUCGAUCUAUACUACUUCAUGUAAUUGAUAUAUUUUAAUAGAUUGAAUGCUUAUUUAUGGAAAAUUAUUGUUUAUUUUGGAAUGAUCGAUUAAUUUGAAUGCUUGAUUGAUAUGGUUUAUAUUAAAUUUUAUUUUAGAGCAGAUUUAUUUUUUAUCAUUAGAGCAUGCUUUUUUUAGGAUGUUCUUUUUUUCUUUUUUUUUUAAUUUAUCAACUGAAAACUCCGUCGUUAAAUGCAUCAUUUCCAGGACGACGCUGAUAGCAAAGCAACGGAGACGUUAUCGGUGAGUCUGUCGGUGAUCACCGACGAGUGAAAAAAAUCUGUAGAUAGAAAUAAUUUAUCGACUACUAUUUUGACGUGGGAUGAAAUCCGUCGGUGUUCCUUAUUUUGGUGUAGUGAUGAUGAUUAUGAUACAUUUUAUAUAUACGAUAAUACGCCUGUUUAUGACAAUCAUAAGUUAUAUAAAGACAAAUAUUCUAAUUUUUUUUUUUUUUUUUUUUUUUUUACGAAAAGAGACAUUUAUUAUAUAACACUAGGAUCAUAACUGAUCACUUGGGCAAAAACAAGACAUUCGUUCAGGAAGGCCCGUCGAAGUGGAUUACCCAACAAAAGAGUAUCAUACUUAAAAUAAAAUAUUAACAUAAUCAGAGUAUCUUGCAGCGGAAAUACGUGUGAAUUAUACAUGUGAAGAUGUAUACUCAAGGUUACAUUAUUAUUUUAUGUCAAAAGGGUACAUCCGCUCAACUCCACUCCAUUCCAUCACCCGCUCAACCGUAAAUCUUGCUGUUGAAAAUGGGCUGCAGUAGUUGAAAAUGGUGGUCACAAAUAUUCUAAAUUGAUUCUUACUUCGUAUAACCAAAAAUUUUUGUAUUUAAUCCUCACAUAUGAACUCAUAGAGGAAUGGCAUACUAGUCAUUCCACGUGCAUCACUCAUAUUUAGCCUGUGUUACCGUUAUUUUCUUUUGUUUCAUAUAUUUAUUUUUAUUCUAAUAUAUUAUAAAUUGUUUUGUUAACAUAAUUUAAUUUUACAAAAACAUAAAAAUCGGAGCUUCAUUUUUUUUCAUUCAUUUAUUAUCAUUUUUUUAAAGAAAAACAAAAUAGAGAAUCGAAUAUUAGUUUAAAUGCACCUGUCCCACACUUACUCCUGCCUUCUUAAAUGUCCAUAUUUCCUCCCAUUUCUCCUUCACCGUUAUGCUCUCUCUCUCUCUCUCUCUCCAUAUGUCUAUAUAUCAACAUUCUCUGUUCAUCAUCCUAUAUAUAACAGAGAGAGAGAGAGAGAGAGUGAGAGAGAGAGAGAUGUUGAAAUAGUCACUAUGAUGUUGGCUCGGCUCACUCAGAAAUGAGAAUGUUGUUUUUGCGUUUUUGAUUGAGCCGUGCCAAUAUCUUAGUGCGUUUUUCACAUACCAUUAUUCUUCAUUUUGCUACUUCUUCAGGUUUGCGUUUUAUGUCUAUUUAAUUUUUUAAAUAAAUACAGAUAAUUAGAUAUAUUUAUUCAAAUCCACCAUCGGUGAAACUCCCAGUAUUUAAUGAUUCUUUCUUCUUGUUAUUGGAAUAUUAUUUGCUUAAAAUAAUUGUUUGGUUUAAAUUUAAAUGUCAAUAUCGUAUAUGCAAAAGAUCAAUUCUUGAUUCCUAUAUUAUUUGGCAUUUGUACAUUUUUUAAUAUAAAAUAAUUAUCAUUAGUCUCUUGUAAAAUUUUUAAUUUUAUCAUUGUUAGCUAUUUCAAUUGUUCGUGUAAAAAAAAAAGAAUUAUUGGUAGCCUUUUUCAGUUAUCCUUGUAAUGGAGUAAUUAAUAAUCUCCCUAAAACAUUUGUCUCUUCUUACUUUAAUUUGGUACUAGUAUUUUAUUUUUGUCGAUGUAUGGUUCAAGUCUCUCUUUCCUCAUACGUCUUUAAUUACAGUCUCACCAAGACAUGAAUUUUAUUUUCAUUUCUUAUAUACUUAAUUAUUAAUUAUUAUAUAUACUUUAUCAAUUCAAUAUAUAUAUUAAAUGAUAACCAUUUAAUAAAAUCACUUUUCCUUCCAUUGAUUAUCAAAUUGCUUAUCCAAACUUUUACUUUAUUUUAUUGCAGCUUGUACAGGGUUUAUUUUAGUUUGAAAAUUAUUGAAAUACUGAACUUUUUAUUUGUUUUUUAUGUUUUGUUUCAUUUUUCACUUUUUCUUUCGAAAAAGAGCUAUUUUCUUAUCAUAAUUAAAUAAUAAGCUAAUUAAAUUACUAUUGUUAUUAUAAAGUGAUAAUUAAAUAUUUUUAAAAAAAAUAAAUCUAAAGAUAUAGUUGAAUAAUUCUUUAAUAAAGUUAAUUUGAUGCAGAACUACUGAAUGGAUUAUUUGGAAGCGCCGAAUGAACUGAAUAUGGGACAGUAACCAUUGAAUAUUGUCUUACCUAUAAUUUUAUUUAGUUAAAUUUUCGAAAUAUAUGGAGUAUGAAAUAUGUCUAAACUACGCAAAGUUUAAUUUACUGAUGUUUAUGUGUCUUUCUUGUAUUUAUGCUUUAUUUAAAGAUUUAAAUGUAGAAUUGAAUCUAUUUAUACUAACUUAUGGUCAAUUAACGAUUUCAACCUCUUCACUUUAAUUUACAUACAAUGUUGAUUAGUUUUUUUAGAUUUUUCGUUAUAGACUAUUGUUUCAUUUCAUCUAAUUUACAUGCAAUUGUGAUUAGCUUUCUAGAUUUUCUGUCAUAGAUUAUUCUUUCACAUGUUCGCAUAUACACUUAUGGCUUUUCAUUAUUUUUUUUCUAUCAUCAUCUUUUGUUUUUCUACUUACUAUAAAAUAUUAUUUUAUAGAUAACAAAUAAUUAGUUGGUUUUGAUACCGUAAAUAGAUAAAUUAUUGUUCCAUCUGCGUACAGUUCUUUCCCCACCUUUGUAUGGUGUAGAGGUCCCGUCUACGUGCGAGUUGCUUAUUUGAUUAUAUUUAGAUGCAUCUUGUAAUUUUAAUUAAAAAUAAUAAUGUUACAUAACUAAAACGUAUCAAAUAAAUAAAAACAUGAAUAAUAAAGUGAAAAGGUAAUGUUAAAGUUUAGAAAAUAAUGAGAGUAAUGUAGGCAAAAAUUAUAAUAUGAUAGAAAACAUGCUUUUAUAAGAUAAUUUUACAAAUAAUAUAUACAUAUGUAUAAUUCAUGAAAAGGGAAUAUAUAUUGGGGCCUUAUUUUUUUAUUUUUUUUAUGAAAUUACAUUAUAAAUAAUACAAACCACGCGCACACCCCACCUAGUGGUUAUUGUGGCCGAGAGUAUUCGAACCUGUGACCUCUUGGACAACAGGCAACCACCCCAACCACUAGGUCAUCCCAAGGGGACAGGGGCCUUAAUUUUUCAAGGAACUUGAGCAUGCGACCACCUCAAUCGCCUCUACUUGGAAGUUUCAAUUAUUAAUAUUUAUUAUAAGAAAAAAAAUAAUGUUUUUUCUUAUGAUUUUGGCCAAAAAUUGUCGAUCGAUUACACUUCAUAAAAAGUUACACUUUUGCAGAAUAACAAAAUAGGAGUAUCUUGUGUGAAACCAUCUUGAUCUUGUUGUGAGAUGAGUUAAGACUAAAAUCUAAAUUCAUUUCAAUGAUAUUUUUGAUCUUGCUGUGAGAUGAGUUAAGAUUAAAAUCUAAAACUCAAUGAUAUAUUUUCAACUGGGGAAUUAAAUUGUCUUACACAAUUUUAUUGUUUCUAUUUUGUUUUUUUUUUUUGAAAGGUCAAGAUAAAAAUAUAUAAAUAUGAGUCCAAAGAGUACUCAACCCUUACAAAAAGAAUUAGAACAAAAUUACAAAUUAGACGGUAUACAUUCUCUCGAACUAAAACACCAAUUUGUUAAUGAAUAGGAUAAAGAAAUAGGAUAGUUUGCAUGUAGUCAUUUCCAAUAGUUAAUCUUCACACCUUUCACAAUCUUAGCAAAAUUCGGAUUAAUGUCCUUAAAAAUAAGCCCAUUUCUCACUUUUCAAAAUUCUCCAAACCGUGUAUUGUCAAAAUAUUUUGGCUUGGGUGAUUGUUGUGCUUGUACCAAGAAACACACAUGCACCCUAUCUCAAUCCCAAUUACUGCACUUUCUCCUUUCUGGUGAACAUUUAUUUCACCUUUUGAACUAUUUGAUUCCUAUUUCACCUUCUCACGCCCUUGUUUUUUUGUAGAUUUCAAAAUUUAAUUUAUAUAUAUAUAUUUACAAGGAGUUAGUUGCAAGAAGUAAAUGGGAGAGGUGGUGUUGUUGGCACAACCAUAAAUGUGAAGAGCAACUUACACUGCAAUAAUUAAUGAUACAAAAGAGAAUCUCUGCAAGAAAUUGUUUGCCAAAUCUUUAAUGUAUUCCCAUCGGACAAAGAUUCCCCCAUUAAAUACUUCCUUGUGUGCUCUCCAUUCUAUUUUCACUAUAUUUAUCGUUAUACUUCUUUAUAUAAAAAUAAAACUUUAUUUUAUAAUAUGAUCAAACUAUACAAAAUUGAUGUGAGAAUAUAUUGAUUUUUUUAGUUGAUAAAAUGAAUGAGAUCAUUUGAAGUAGUAAUAUAUUCUUGACGCAUAUAAAUAUUAGCAAUUAAUUAAUUGAAAUAUGAAUAUGCUUCUUUCUUGUUUGCUUAAUCAACUCAAAUAAACUGAAAUACAAAUGCCAAAGUUUGGGAAUUAUACCAAAACGAUGUUGUUUUUUAAUAAAUAGUGUGCAUCAUCAAUUUUUCGAGAACUAAAAAGAAUUGGGUAGCAAAAAAAGUGAUAAAUCUAUAUCACGGGUUAUUUCUAUCUAUCUGUUUACUAAAGAAAUGUCUAUUUUGUAUGAUUGAUAAUAUCAUGCAUGUAUUGACCAAACGGUAAAGGUUUAAUGUCUAAGGUCAAAAAGUAUUUGAUAACGUAAAAUUUCAAUAUCCAUCUAAAUAAAUAAGAAGUUAGUCUUAUUAAUUUUCUUUAUCUAAAAUAAUUAUCCAAGUAAACAUUCCCUAAGCAAAUGAAAUAGACUUCGUGAAGAAUGAAAGGAACGUGGAGUGGAAAUAGUGAUAUGAAAAAUUUAUAAGUGUUGGCGAUGAAUUUUAUCGCAGAGAUGAGGCUAGCUAUAACUGAAAAUCGUGAAAUUAACCCUCAUAACUUAUGGCAUAAAAUAUUUAGUACUGAAUCAGAUCUUAUCAUGCGAACAAGCCCUAUCUAUAGUCAAAUUCAGAAAGUUUGAUAGUUGAAAGUUAAAAAUAGAGCACAAUAAUUAAAUAUAUUCUCCGUCCAUUAAAAAUAUGAUAUUUUUUAUGGACACAUAUUUUAAUAAGAGAUGAUCUUGGGAACAAUCGGGUGUACCGUAUAAUCGGGUUGCAUCCUCACUUAGACUCUGACCCGCACCCUGAUCUAAACCCGUAUUCUGACCCGGACCUUAUAAAUAACACUAUUUUGAAUGCGGAUCAACCCAAUUGUACGAUACACCCGGUUAUACCCAAGUUUUUGUAUUUUAAUAAAAAAAUAGAUGAUGAUUUUUAUAUAGUGGAUAAAGAGUCCCAUUAUUAUAUGAAAUGAAUGGUUGAGUUUGAAUUAAUGGUGGUUUAUUUUGUAAAUAAAAUGUAUUUGUAAGGAUAAAAAGAUAAGAAAGAGAUGUGUGUUUAUGUUCUAAAAAUCAAAAUCUAAUAUUUUGAUGGAUAAUAAUAAUAAAAAAUUAUCAUAAUUUUUUCGUAGACAUAUGUAGUACUUAUUCUUUUUCUAAUCCUUGGUUCUUUUUGUUCUAAAUUUUUUUUGAUAGAAGACUUUUUCAUGUCUUCUCCUUGGUUCGGCAGUUUAUGCCUUUCUUGAUGCUCGUUGGUUUCUCCAGUUUCUGUUUAUUUGGUUGUCUUAUGGUUGGGAAGGUCGGGGUUGUUUGGGGACGAUGGUUAGGCCGGAAUUUUGGAAACAAUCCUUUCUGCUUUCCCACCAUUUUUUUUUUUGUCGGCUUGCUUUAUAGGAGUACUCUUUAUCAUUUUUACGAUUUUUUUCUUUGAAUUUUUCGUAAAAAAAAUUAAUGAGUUCGACCUUUAGUCUGCUGCUGUGUGCUUUCAAGGCUUUUCAAGAUUUUUCUUUUCUUUUUAUUUAUAAAAUAUAAUUUAAUAAUUCUUUUUCCAAUCCAUUUCUCGAUUUAUCCGUUCUGGAAACUGAAAUUUUGGAAGCUGAAAUUUUUUUACUAGCAUUAAAAUUUAGGUAAUUGAAUCGACUCUCUAAAGACAAACUCACAAAAGUAGGGGUGAGCAAAAUAUCCGAAAUCCGAAUAUCCGAUCCGAACCAAACCGAAAUUUAAAAUUUGGUUCGGAUUUUUCGGAUUUUCGGAUCGGAUCGGAUUGAAUUUUAAGCAAAUUUCGGAUUUUCGGAUCGGAUCGGAUUGGCACCUUAAAAAUCCGAAAAAAUCCGAAAUCCGAAUUAUAUUUAUAAUAUAAUUAAUAUUAUAAUAUUAUAAAUAAAUAUAUAUAAUUAUUAGUUUUUAAAUAGUUAAAUAUUUCUAAAUUCUAACCCUAUACUCCCAUUUUGGUUGAUUAUAAUUAAUGGCUUGUUAAUUAUGACCUUAAUUUGAUUGUAUUAUCUAAUAUGUUAGGUUGACAUCUAUUUCGGAUUUUUCGGAUUUUUUCGGUUUUCGGAUUUUUUUUUUUACAUUUCGAAUUUUUUUUCACAUUUCGGGUUUUUCGGUUCGGAUCGGAUUUUAUCCGAAAUUUUUCGGAUUUUCGGAUUCGGAUUUUCGGAUAAUACGGUUCGGAUCGGAUUGAAUUUUAGGAAAAUUUCGGAUUUUCGGAUCGGAUCGGAUCAGGCAAAAAUCCGAUCCGAAAUCCGAAUGCUCACCCCUACACAAAAGUAGCUGACAAAAUUUCAGGACUUAAAAGACGUAUAUUUUUGCUUUCAUUGAGAGUUGAACUCAAGACCUCCCGCUUACUAAACAGGUGCUCUAACCAACUGAGCUAUGAAAGCUUUUGAUUUAACAAUAGAGAAUGAAAAUAUUUGCCAUAAAUACUUAUUAACAUUUAAUAUCCAUAUAUCUUGGUACCAAAAUUCAGAUUGCGUGCAAAUCACUAAGAAAAUAAUUAUUAUUGUUAUCAUAGUAAGAAUAAUACUCCCUUAUUAGUAUAAUAUCCCGCUACUUUUAAGUACAGAAAAAUUAAGAAAAGUAUAAUUGAUAUAUAAUGUGAAUUGAUUGAAGAUAUUUAAGGAUUAUUUUAUGCUAAUUACUUAACUAAUUGCAUGAAAAAUCUAUUAAUAUAUGAAAACGCAGUUGAUUAUCAAAUUUUUUGCACCAAUUUUGAGGCAAUAUAGCAAAUAAAGAAACAUGUCGAGGGUAAAUAUAUUGAUAGCAUCGGCGCAUCACAACAAAUUCCACGAAAAUAGGAUAUUCAAUAUCAAUGUAAACCCACUAACUAAAAACUAUUUAAUAUAAUAUAUUUACUGAAAUAUAAUUUCCUGAUGAUUAACGGCAGUUUCAUACAAUGAUCCCACUGCAUACAAUAAUAUUUGAAAUAUAUAACAAAUGAAUAAAAUUGAUAUAAUAUUUUAAUAUAUUACACCACUAUUAGAUAUGCACACACCCACUACAUUUAACUACCAUUAUCAAUACUGAAUCAAAUCACAUAUAUAAAUACGCAUAUCCAUAAAAAGAAAGAAAAAAUACAUGUUUCUCUCUUCUUGCUAACAAUUCUCCCACUUUUACACUUUUCUCUCUUUUUGCAUUUAUCAAAUAUGCUCCGUUUUUCGGUGUUCUCAAAAUUGCUUUACACUAGUCUCAUUCGCAAUUAGAUAUUCUCUGAAAUUCAAUAGCAAAAAUGCAUGAAUGCAUUUUCAUGAUAAAGAAUAACGGUAUCUUGGGCAGAAAGAAAAGAAGAAUUACAUGGAGGUGAAGAUUGUGGAGCCGUCGCUGGAGUGGGAGACGGUGAACUUGUGCCGGUGGGAUAUGGCGAAGAAGAAGAAGAAGGGCAGGAAGAGGUACGUGAUCAAUGGAAAUUGGAACAACAUUGUGGAGAGGAAUAAGUUAAGAACAGGGAUGGUGGUGCAGUUGUGGAGUUUUCCUGCCUCCUGAAUAUCAUAUUCAUUUUCCUUCUUUAAUUUCAUUCCAAAUUUUAUACUUCUUUUGGUAUAUAUAUAUAUAUAUAUAUAUAUAUAUAUAUAUAUAUAUUAAUUGCGGAUCGAUCGAUGGCUUUGUUUAUCCAACUUGUAUGUUUAUAUACAUUUAAUUUCCUCCUAUUAGGGAGUUUUGGUUCUGCUUUCUUCUUCGAUUAACAAAAUAUAAAAGCUUCAUUCUUAAGCAACAAUGGUGCCAAUAAGAUCGAAACUCAUCUAUUCUUGAAUCUCCACGCUCCAUUCCCUCUCUAGAAUAAAUUCUUAAUUUUAACAUCUACAUAUCAUUAUAGUGUUAAUGGUACAAAUUUUCUGACAAUAUUUUUUGACAGUUUUCAGUCCAAAAUUUUAGGACCAUUUUCAUAAAAUGUGUAUACAUUUUCUUUCAAUCUUAAAUUCUCCCAAAAUCUCAUUAUUUUGUUCUAUUUUAAAUAUAAAACUUCUCUUAAUCUCAAAAAAUAAUAAAUUUUCUCUUCAAACAAUUUCACUGGUGAUACCAACAAAAUCUUUUCUUAAGCAAGCAUGAAAAAUUACAACCUGGAAGUUAUUAAGGUUGUUAAAAUUGCAAGCCCAACAUAAAAAUAAAAAUUGGAGUUGUUAAUAUUUCAUGUAAGUAGGCCCAUGGUUAUAAACGAGCCCAACCAACCAAUACGAACCUCAUGUUCGUUAACUUCCUAUAAUUUUAUUUUUUAAGAUCUCAAUUUGAAUUUUGUAACUUAGUAAAACAGAUAUAGAAGUGAAAGUAAUUAUUAAAAUAAAAUAAAGGCGUGAGGAUUUAGUCGAGCAAAAAUUUCGUAUCACAAUGUAAAUAAUAUUGUUAUGCAAAUUAAUGAAAUUGUAAAUUCGCGUAACAGUUUAAAUAACAUUGUUAUAUGAAUUACCCUACUCAUUUAGGCACUCUUUGAUAGGGAUGAUAAAGCAGGGAUAUACAAAUAAUUUGACCUUAUCACCCGUUAGUACCUCAGAUAAAUAAACUGAAAUAUCUGUAAAUUGAAAGAGACUCAUCUAUAAUUCACUAUUAGUACACCCGCUCGUGCUAUGUAUGACGAACAUCGAAAUUAAACGAUAUAUGUAAAUAAAUAUUAAAUAAAAUUAAAAUAUAAGUAAUUAUAAAAUAUAUUUUAAAAAUAAAAUAAAAUAAUUCACAUUAAUUAGUCAAUAAAAAUUACGAAUUAAAAAAAAUAUAAAUUUUACAAUUUUGUAUAAAGUGUAAUUAUAACUACAUCUAUUAAACAAUUGAAAAUUAUUUAGAUAAAUGAAAAUUUAGCAUUACCCACUAUCAUACACAAAUAUAAAAAAAGUCAGAUAAGAAAUUAAAUUUUAAUUUAUACAACUAAUUAUUCAUCUAUAAAUUUACAUUAAAAUUAAUACAUAUUAUACCUUUUGAAAUUUUAUAUAUUUUUAAAAUUAUAGAGCUCUGAAAUGAUUGAAUAUAAUCUCACUCUUCUCAGUACAUUAAACAUUAUUAUAAUUAAGAUAUAUAUAGUAAAAAAUACAGAAAUUGAUAUUUAACAAAAUAUAGAAAAUGAAACAAAAUUAUGAAAAAAGAAAACAAAGAGAAAAAAAAUCGUAUGUUCAACAUUAAUAAGAAGGUGAGAGAAAUAAAAGGUUUUACAGAGAAUUAAAAUAAAUAUUUUAAAUUUUAAAUUGUUCAUAACUUAUUCGUUUUAUAUUCAUUUUUAAUUAAUGAUGUUUAUAUCAUAUUAAAGAUCUUUUCACGAUCAAUUUAAUAUGCACAUUGCAUAUUAGGGGAGAAGAGAAAGAAAAAAAGGCAGGGAAAAAAAAAAUUUCUUUUUUAUAUAUAUAUUAGCAUAUAGAUUUUUUAUGUAGUUUGAUUAUUAUUAUUUUUUGAUAAAUUAACAUUUAAAUAAGAAAAUUCAAAUACCGUAUUACAGAUUCGAAAUUUAAAAUUUCUAAUCUUAAACAUUAACCAAAUUAUCACUAGCCCAACAAACACUUUGAUGGAAGGGGAGGUGGUUCCAUCCAAACUUAGUUGAAGUGGAAAAUAGUCAAAAGUGUUGUUAGAUGUAAUAAAUGAAUUUGAUCAAAUUCGCUUGGUACAGUUGAUCUGAUAAGCGUGCAUUAGUGCAUAUAAAUAUACAUAUGAUAUUUUAGUAUCUUGUUUGCUUCAAAAUGAGAUGUUUAAUAGAGAAAAUACAUAAUAUUCAUUAUACUAUAAAACAUUUUUGUGUGAUUCUAUUAAUAUGCCACAUUCGUAAGAGAGUGCCUUGGGGUUUAGGUAAUCACCUAUUUAUUGCAGCGGUGAGAUUAACUCUGCGCCUGCGGGGACAGUUUCAGUUUCUUCAUAUAAGUAUGCUACGUACUGUUUAAUUCAUUUCCUUCCAACAAUUACUUCUAUUUAAUGUUAUUUAUUACUAUUUUAUUUUUUGGAAGAAUGAUAAGGAGUGCUAUUUUUUAUAGCCGAAUUUCAAAUCUGCAUUCAGUUUUUUACGUUCAUACCAUAAACAUGACAUGAUUGGAUAAAAGCUCGGUUGUCCACUUGAGGAUUGCCAGAUGGUGAAGAUGUAUUUUGUUGGGGAUGAAUCCGAAAAUUACGGAAGUGACGUCAGUCACGUAUGGAUCGACGGACACUAGUAACCUGAAACCACAACCAACGUCAGAGCCCUCCGAUGAGCACUGGUGAGAGUGUCGAUUGAAGGGCCUCCGACGCUCAAGUCAGUGAAUUGUUAUUAAAUACAGACGUAAGUAACGUAAUGAAAUAAAUAAAUGAUAGAGAAGAGAUAGUAAUAAGUGGUAUAUUCGGAAGAUCGGGGUGUCCGGUAGUCGGAGUUAGAGCUAAUGAGCGAAUUGGAAUGAGGGGCGACGUCGGGCUAGCGGGACUAGUCGGGCGAUCGGAACCCUAGAAUGUUGUGAGCGUGGAAGCGGAACGAAAGAGCGGGGAGUGCGAGAGAGAGCGAGAGUCAGAGAUCGUGUGCGAAUGCUAGAGUGGAUAUGAGUGAUUCUACGAUGCCCCUUCACUAAUGUAGAUAUAUAUGUUACGGACGUGUAGGGAGACGGCUAUGGUUAGGGUUCUACUGGAACCCCCGUUGCAGCCCUAGCGGUUCCGGCUUCUUAGGAAACGAUCUCCCGCGACUCUCGUCUGACUUGGUCUCCAAGUAACUGCCGCGUUUAGGGUUUUCUUGGGUGAAUUCACGCUGCAUAUGGGCUUGGCUUUGGGCCUUGCGCUAUGAGCGCGGUAUGGACCGUUUUACCGGGCUAGCCCGUUGGGCCGUAUAAUUAUUGUUAAUUAGACUUAUACUAAUUUUACCCACUACAUAUUUUUAAGGCCAAUUUUUUAAAUUGAACCCGUCACAUUUUUAUUUUAUUUUUUUGAUUUGGUAAAGGGGAACAGUGAUGUUUGAACCCUUGACCUCACUGUUCACAUACAGGAAGUUCGCACCGCUUGAUGCCUCCUUGUAGGUUAUCGUGUGUGUGUGUGUUGGCCUAGCGAGGAAGUCAAUACCCAAGACUUGAGGUCCUGGGUUCGAGUCCUCUGUUGUGCGGUUUUUGAAUUUUUCUAUUUACUUAUGUAAUUGUAAGUUACCAUGCAUGUCAUUAAAAAAAAGCUCGAUAUAGCUGGAUAUCUGAUUAGUGAUUAUGACGCUUAUUUUUGUGUUUUAAGAUUUUAAGCUUAUUUAAAUAUGGGUUAAGUAUCAAAUAAGCCCCUAACGUAGAGGCCCUUAUUACAUCUAACACCCUAUGGUAAGGGGUGUGUCAACUAAGCCCCUGAAGUACUUAAUUUUCGUCAAUUAAGUCCUCCGACUUAACGGACGGUUAACACCGUUAACUAUUUUAAUUUAUUUCUUUCGUUGGUGGUGGGACCCAUGCCUUCUUCUUCGGCAAGCUCGUCGGAAACUCGCUAGAAACAUGCCGACGUCGGCUCCUCCUUCUCUCGGCCCUCUCUCUGCACACCCUUCCUCUCAUUUCCACCCCGAUCUCACUCUCAUUUCCUCGGUUCCAUGCCUCUUAAGCUAGGUCAAAUGCUACAAAAUUGAGCCAGACAAUUUCACAAAGAAAUGCGAAGCAAGAAAAACAAUUCCAAAAGGCCCCAAAACCCACAAAAUUUUGGGAAAUGGCAAAUAAAAAGGAGAAACCUCAACUACAAAAAAAAGGGGAACCAAAUACACAACAUAAAUCACAGACGUUGAACUCAUUAAACACAAAGGUCCAUAAUUUUAGGGACAAACAAGGAGUAUUUCCACACCAUUUGCAUUAGAGAGAGGGUCAACGCGGCGACGCUUCCGAUUGUGCGCCCAAUCGUCGAUGUUGUCAUCCGGGUCGGGUUUGGAUCCUGGUAAAUCGGGUAAGAUCUCGAUCCGCAGAACCUUGUUCGAGAAGUUGACGUCGUCGAAGGCGAACCCGAAGUCGGACGAUGAGGUUUGAGGAGAACCGAUGUCCGACGAGGCAGCCGUCGCCAUUAAACAACUGCUUUCGACAAAAAAUGCACCUUUUUUUCCUGCAAUCCCUAACAAUUUUGGUGUGCCUUUUUAUCGAAGAAAUCCGUGUAAAUAUGACGCUGAUUUCAUGAGGAAUUGUAAAGGGGGGAGAAGAUAACGGCGGUGUGAUGAAAUGAAAGAAAAACCGAAAGUUUUGUGAAGUAACUUGUAAUUUGGGAAGGAGGUUUUCUCCUUGAUUUAUUUGAUUCCAAUUAAAUCGAAUACAGAGCAAAAGACGGCGGCGGCGACUCCUCGCCGUGAGACCACCGGCGAGACAGUGAGAUCGGGGUGGAAAUGAGAGGGAGGGUGCAGAGAGAGGGCCGAGAGAAGGAGGAGCUGACGCCGGCGUGUUUCUGGCGAGUCUUCGGCGAGUUUACCGAAGAAGAAGGCCUGGAACGUAUUUUUUUUUAAAUAGUUAACACCAUAGUUAACGGUGUUAACCGUACGUGAAGUCGUAGGGCUUAAUUGGCGGAAAUUAAAUACUUUAGGGGCUUAGUUGACACACCCCUUGCCAUAGGGUGUGAGACGUAAUAAGGGCCUCUACGUUAGGGGUUUAUUUGAUACUUAACCAUGUAAAUAUUAACUGAAUUGCUAUAGGUAAUGAAAUAUUUGCUUAAAUGGGAAACAAUUUGUAAAGCUAUACAUAUUCACAAGGGAAAAAGAGUCUAGAUAACAAAAAAAAUGAACACACUAAAUCAUAGCUCAAAUUAAGUCAGAAUAAUUUUAAGUAAUAACUUUAUAUUUCUAUGUAAUAACUAAACAAUUUUAUUAGUAGAGCAUAUAAGAUCGAUUGUUUAUGUUCUUAAUUAAAUAGUAAAGGAACAAAUUGUGUAAUUUAUCAAAUGUAAAAUUAGGAUAUAUAGCUACGAAAUAAUUAUAACAUUCUGAAGGACCUCUUCAUCUAUAGCCUAUAUAUAGGCACAUUUCAAAGUGUAUCUAAUUACUUAUAUCCAUAUGUUUAACAAGUUUUACACCCUUGAAGGUAGUUUUGAUCUUCUUACUCGUAUUAUAUGAAAUUUGUAUGAUUAAUAAGCUUGUAAUCAUCACCAAACAUGAAAUAUUACAUAGUAUUGGAAUUUUAUAUAACUUUAAAGCACGAUACAAAUAAGCCCUCCAACAUGGUUGUGAAGAACACACUUGUUAACUCAAGCUGGUAUGAAACUAUUACAUUCAUUUCUACCACUGAGUUCAACUCAUAUUAAACCCCCCCAUAAUAUUAAGAUAAUUUAUAUUAUCCCGAUUAGCUACACACAACACACACACAGAGGAUCAGAUAAGUUGGGGUCUUUUUUUUUUCUUUUUCUUGAAAGAAGAUAAUUAGGGUUGACCAUUUUUUAGCAUAGGCUGGCUGCUUGGGCUGCUGAGAGUUUGCAAGCCCCAUUUCUAAGUUCCCAUCGAUUGUAGGUUUCUUCACAUCAUCUUUAUUCUUGCGGUAGAUGCCAUACAACAUCAAUUGCAUUGCUCCCAAAAAACACCCAAAUCCAUUAGGAAUCUGCAAUAUAUAUAUUUGCAUAAAAUAAAAUAAAUCAAUUACAUCACUAUCACCAUUUAUUAGAGCUUUCAGAAUGGCCCGGUCCGACUUUAAAUUUAUUGGACAAUAGAAUUUUAGACCCAAAUUGGACCAAUUUGACAUAAAAAUUUUGGGCUAGGGGGUUAUGCACAAAACUAUUUUGGGAUGGAGUGGGGCUAUAAAAUAAUGCAGAGCCCAAAACGUGGCCCAUAAAAUAUACUUUUAAUUAAUGAUCAAUUUUCACAUGUAAGAAAGAAAAAAGUGAUGGGUGGCAAAAGAAAAAAUACUCACGUAGAGAAAUUUGUCGUUACCAAUGAGGCCAUAAAUAAACCAUGAAGUACCACAUAGGAAGACAAACAGAGACAGGAGAAAUGGCAUAUACUCCACGCUCUUGCUUUUUAUUACCAUUCUCUGCGAUCAUCCAAAACCAAUUUUAUUGAUUCAUCAGUGGAAAUAAAUUAAAUUAAACUAAAUUAAAUUAUGGAGUAUAUGUAAUCUUACUUACCAUGACUGAGAGAGGAGAAGCAUACAUGAUGAUGGAGAAAAUAGUGGCAGCAAAACCACAAAACAACUGCCUUUUCUUCUCCUGUUUGAGGGCAAAAAUGGAAACCAAAGCCACAGUGGAAAAUAUAGAAAGAAUGCCAAAAAGAAGAGCCAUGAUUUUGGCCUUCUCCUUCUUAGGCGCAAAUACAAGAAAAAUCAGCACAUAAACUGACUCAAUCACUACUCCACUCCCAUUUAUUGCAGAAACCAAGUAGUUGUUUGGUGAUAUGAAAGGCAACCCAUACCUGCAUUUAAAUUUCAUAUUAGUAAUUAAAUGCUCAUCUCAAUUAAUUCAAAAAAAUAUACAUAGUAGAGCAUUCCCAAACUGAUGUAGAUGUUUUAGGACUUCAACUCGGAUAUUUAAAUAUUGACAACGUCAUUAUAUUGUCUCUUUACUAAAUAAAGGGGAAUUAAAGAAAAUGGUUGAUAUGCAAUUUUUAUUAUUUUUGGUAUUGUCAACUCCGUGAUUCUUUUUUUUUGCGACUUGCGAGUAGUAUCCUUUGUGUUAGAUAACAGUGUCAUAAAAAGUAAUGACAAACACACACACACACACAGUGUAAAUAUACUAGUAAUUUGUUAAAAUUGGGAUAAUUAGAGGAAUAAUUGAAUAAUUAUUAGGACUGGUAUGCAGUCAUAAUUAAGAAGCAAAAAGAAAAAUGGAGCAAUAAAAUAAAAGUUACCAAGCAGCGAGCAAACAGUUGAGCAACGUCAUAACAUAUGGUAUGCCAGAGAAUUGCUCAGUUGAUCUGUUCAUGAUGAUCCUCUUGAAAGUAACCCUUCACAUUUAUUUCCCAAAAUUAAUACUACAGUUUAUUAAUUAAUCCAAACAUGAAAUUAAGCAAAACAAAAAUUCACAAAAUUGUGCUGCCUUUACUCACGAUGGAGAGAGAAACAAAAACAAACCAGUAGCAUUUCCUAAAACCAAAUCGAAAUUCAUCAAAUUAAUUAAUGUUGUUAGAAAACUCAAAACUGCAGUCAAGUAAAAACAUCGAAGAAGAAGAAAUAAAUCCUACCGAAAACUCCAAACACCAAAUGCAAAGCUUUGCCGUGACUCAUUGUGAAUGAAUAUUUCCCGAGGAAUUAAUGCAACAAACUCUAUAUCUAUAUGAUUAAUAAUAAUGGAUUUGAAGAAUAGAUAAUGAGAGUUGGUUUUUGUUGAGGUGAUGAAGGAAAUGGGGUGGUGAGGGAUGAUUUAUAUAGAGCGAAAUACUUUUUGUUAGCGGUUAAUCAAACAGAUUACGUCCUUAUCCACACCGGCCAAAACUCUCUCUAUAUCUUCUCGCACUAUACGUAUAUGUGUGUGUAUUUUGAGUACGUGUCAUGCAUGUUUUGUUACUGUGUGUAUGCCUGAAAAAUCUGAAUGACUGCUUCUGCUACUGACUAAUUAAUGUUGAACUAGAACACCCACUCGUGCGUUGCACGACAAGUGCUGCACGUUGAGUGUUAUUUUUAAAUAAUAUUUUAAAUAAAUAAAUAUGAAAAUAAGACAUGAUAUUCAUAUAAAUUAAAUUUAAUUAUAAUUAAAUGCAAAACAAAAACAGGGAGAGAAUGUGAGUUACCAAUCAAUCGGAUCAUUCGCCGGCGACAAAUAAACCCCAAUGCCGUGAGAAAAGCCUUGUUCAAAAUUCCCACAUCUCCCAAAUCCAUGAGUGACAAUCCCCAAAAUCUCAUCCCGCGCAGCGCCGUACCAAGCAUGCUUAAUAUUGGCGUUGCCGCCGCGCUUCGUCGCCACCGCCUGUGAGAAUAGCCGGAAAGCUUCCAGUCUGGCCUGGCCCGUGAUGCUGGAGUAAGGAUUCUUGUGCACAGCAAGCACAUUAACUUCCUCGGCAAGAACUCCCAUCCCAUACUUAAACCUCUUCUCAACUACGCCGUAUUCGCUGUCACCCAGUUCCAUUUUCACCAUCCCAUUCCUCGUGAAAUCUCUGAAUUGCCGGCAACCCGAUUCCGACGAUGAUUCGCCGUCGGAAUCCGCCGGCGCCUCGUGGUCGUCCACCGUCAUCGACAUCUGCGUUUCCCGCUCCAUCUCACGGAUAUCAGAUUUGAAUGAUGCAAGUAAUAAAAAGUUAGGGAAACUUAGGCGACAAGAAAGAGAGAAGAGUUGGUUGCAUCAGUAAUAUUAUUUAGUGGGAAAUGCAGAAUGGAAAGGGACCGUUAUAAGAUUCAUAAAUAAGGCGGUUUAGGAAGGUGAUAGAUAUAACGUGCCGCCAUAUAUCUAGAUAAUAUCGACACGCCUCCUCUCUUUUUCGUGCUCAAUAAGAUUUUUCUUUAAUUAGCAUAUGCGAAUUAAAUUAAGACAGUUAAUUUGGGAUAAGACAGUUAAAUAAUUAAAUAACUUUCGGAUAAGACAGUUAAUUUGAAAAAUAUGAUUAAAUAAUUGUAUUCAAAAAAAUGACACCUAUUAAUUUGAAAAUUUAAAAUUUGGAGAGGUAGGUGGCGGGAAAAAUGACCGUUUAACUGGUCUUUAAUAUAAUAUAUAGAUUUCUGGUGAAAAAUUAAAAGCUUGUGCUCAUGGUUUGGCCUAUCUGGAAAAACCAUGCAUACUUUUGUAUAUCUACAUUAGACUCGACUUAAUUUACUCUAUUGUAAUUUCAUAUUACGUAAUAAUAAUAUUAUGACUUAAUUAAUUAACGAAACAUAACGUUAAUCUGAUUUAAGCGAGGCAAUAUCGAACUCAUCCAAACUGCAGCUUCUUCUCCAUCAUAUAUACAACUAACACCUAUUAAUAAAGGAAAAAAACAAUAGAAAAUUGAGAUAUUUAAUGCUAAUGUAUUAGAGAUCAUUGCUAAUUAAAUAUCAAACUUACAAACUCUACCUAGUUUGUGAAGUAUUGCGAUUAAGAGCCAACUUUACUAUUUAUAGCAAAUUAAAUUAACCUCCUCUAAACUUUCCCAUCACUGAUUAACUGAUAUGGCACCACUCAUUUAUACGUGGACUAGGGUUUUGGCUGGUAGAAAAUACAAUGUGCACUGGAAUUAAUUAAUACUCACUUUGUUCUCCAAAUAACCUUCUAUUUUCAUUUUUAGGUCGUCCCCCAUAUAACUUUCUAUCUAUUUUGGGGCACCACCAUCAUUAAUUUGUCUCAACUUUUAGAUCCAAUUGAGAGUGAUAUGGGUUUUAAUAACGUGGUUGAGUAUAUUGUGAGUGGAAUAAGAGUCUCACAUUUAAAAUAAUUAAAGUGGAGUAAGGGUCCCACCUACUUUUAAUAAAAAUAGAAAUGAAUACAUAUGAAUAUUCAAAUAUGGAUAUAUGGACACUAAAAGAUUGGGAUGGAGAGAGUAUCUUAUUUGUUCUUAUUUUUCAUAUUUUCACCAUUUUCAAUAUUAAUUUUAAUACUUUUUCACCACUUUCAAUAUUAAUUAACACGUAUACCGCUUUUAAUACAUUUAACAACUUUGUCUUAAAACUCGUGGCACCCCCUCUUAUAAAGUUAUUUGGAGGACGAAGGGAGUAAAUUGUGACACAUCAAUUAAUUAGUGGCCAAAAAAUUAUGAAGGUUUAAUUUGCUACCGAUUGUAAAGUUAGAUUUUAACUGCAACUUUAUAGUUUGGAUCGAAGUCACAACAAUUAAUGCCCAAUUAAUGUUUGAGAUUUAAUUAGAAAUUAUCUCUUUUAUAUUAUUAUUAUUAUUAUUAUUAUUAUUAUUAUUAUUAGCGAUUGCUUGCUUUUUGUGUGAGUUAAGUAUGGGAUAAGUAUUAAUUAUGAUAUACUUAUUGUUUUGUAAUGAAAAUUUCGCCAUAUCACUAAUUUAGCAAUUGAAUGCAUUACAAACCAUAUGGGUCCAAACCAUGUGUAGAAGUAGGUAUAUAUGACUCUUCUAUACCUUGUCGUGUAAACUUCUUCUUGUUCUGAUUUGCAUCUGAAAUUUGAGAAAAUUUAUAUCGCAAUCUAAUUUAAUUCCAGCCAGGAAUCAUUAAUUAAUUAAUGCAUAUUGAUUCUUGAAGUUCAUAUGGAUGAGCUUAAAAGCAAAGCGAACGAUGAAUUUCAAUACUAGAAACAAAUUCAAAAGGAUAUAAGGGUGAAAUAAGAAAUUCUUUUUUACCCAGGUUUAAUUUAGAAAGUAAUUCCAUUUUAUACCCCCGUUUUAUUAUAUGGAACAAUUGAUCCAAACCAAGCAUAAAAGAUGUUUUUUUUUGGGUGGGGGGUGGGGGUUGGGGGGACAGUCUAAUUAAUGUUUUUUGGAAAACGUAAACUAUUGGGUACACCCAGCCGCAUAGUAUGCGACCGAUUUGAAAGUUUACAUUUCUUCACAAUAAUGUUUACUUUUAUUGUCGUAAUAAAAAGUAAUUAUUGUUACAAUGAAAUGUAAUAUUUAUAAAGUAUUACAUUUAUUCACGAUAAGUGUUACUUUUAUUCAUGAAAACUUGUACUAUUGCAUAAGUAUACAUUUGUACGAACAAAUUAAUGUAUAUCUUAUGCUUAUUAAAAGUAAUCGGUCGCAUACUAUGCGACCGGGUGCAUGCAACCAACCCUUUAGAAAAUGUGCCGAAAAAACUUUUUUUUUUCUCUAGUAUGGGUUGAUUGUCUGUAAAAGACGUUUUCAUGAAUCGGAAAUUGCACCUGAGCUUUUGUUUUUUUCCAUUAGGAUAUAUCUCUUCGUCCCAAUAAUAAUGUCUCAUUUUCGUCAAUAGGGCGUCCCAAUACAAAUGCAUCAUUCCCUUUUUGGCAAUAUAUUAUCUCUUUAUAUACCUAAUAUUUAAAUAAUUUUCACCAACCCACUUUAUCUACUUUUUACAUAUUUCUUAAUUUAUGUGUCCAAAAGCUAUGAGACACUACUAUUGGGACAGAGGGAGUACAAUCUUUCUAUUUUUUUUUCUUUUAAUUUUAAUUAGUCCAGUCGUUAUUGUCCUCAAUUUAAAUCUAACGUGAUCAUUGGAAAUGACACGCUGGAUGUUCACAAUUUAUUUACUACACUGCAAGUGUACGAUGUAGUCGCAAUAAGUAGAAGCAACAAGGUCGUAUUCUACAAAGAUUAGAGAAUUCAAACUUCUAAAUAUUAUUAAUAAGUUGUUUUCAACCUAUUUAGACAACCAAAGUUCAAGAAUUGUUGAUUAACUAGAACAAAGCUAAAUAAAACAAGCAAACAAAAUAACAACAAAAUAAUCUUAGUUAAUAAAUUGGGGAGUGAUUCGAAGGAAAGUUAUCCUAAGGGACUAGAUUUCGAGGGAACGUAAUGAACUUCAAUCUAUAUUAACUAACUCUUGAAUUAACCUAACUAUCUAGGGCGAUCUCACAUCUAACUUUAGCCCCCUCACGAACGACUAAAAUGGUAAAUUACGAGUCAUAAUUGCCGUCCCUGGUUAAUUUCUAACCUAUCACUCCAAAAAGCACUAAAGAUCAACAAUGCCCCCACACAAACUUUCAACGUCCCGAUUUAUAGAGAUGAUGUGCCUUAAGCUUCUAAUCAAUGUCGAUUAUCCUCUCUCAAUUCAAAUCAAUAUAAUAGACAUGCUCAAAUGGUGAUCAAUGACCACUAUUUUAUUAGCAACAAAAAUACCGCAACUAACACGACUUAAUCGUAGUAUAAAUAGUUAAUCGAGUAUCGUAUCCUCAGGAACUGUGAAAACACUAUGAGUAAUCCUAAUAAAUUCGAAAACAAUAUCCAGGCAAUAGAAAUAUGGUGUGUAGUAAAAACUAGACUCAAAACAGACGAAAAAAAAUUAAAAGAAUAAAAUCAAAUAAUAAAGACAUUGACCCAAAAGAAUGUAUUAUUGUUAAUUAAACAUAUAUGCAUUUAACCUAUUGACUCAAUUACAAAUUUUAAACCAGUCCUAAUGAAAACAUCAUAAUCAUAUUCAUAAUCUUCUCUAACGAACAACUAUGAAAAAAGAUCUCUAUCACAUUCAAGUCCCAAGAGAAUAAAUUAACUCCAAAUAGCACACCAAGAAUAGCUUUCCAUAGUCCACCUAGCACAUUCAAGUCUCAAGGUUAAACUAUAUCAAGCAUUCAUGAAUCGGUUGAACAAUUAUCACUAGACAAUUACACAUGUGCAAACUAUAGAAAAUAUAAUUCACAAGAAACAUGCACCAUAAACCAUACAUCACAAGAUGAAGGACAAAUUAAUAUCAAUAAAUCAAAUACAUAUAUUUAACCAACUACGUACAUCCCUAGAAUCAGAAAACAAAUUAGUCAGACAUAGUAAAAGAAAACAAAAACAUAAUUAAGAAAAAAAAACAAUUGGAAAGAAUAAGUUAAAUAAAACCCCAGAAUGAAACCAAAGUGAACAGCUUGAAUCUUCAAUCUUGCAGAAAUCUAAUCCAAAUUCUAAAGACUAGAAAGCAUUAAAUUCUAAAGCUAAGAAUAUGAAAAUUUGAAGGCGGACUCCUAAAUAGGUCAACAAUGAUACUCAUUAAUUUAUAGACUCAUGGAAAAAUUUAGUCCAAAAAUUUGAAAAUACAGAAAAGAUUGAGAAAAUUGGGGCUGGGGGGGGGGGGGGAGGGGAAGAGGGANNNNNNNNNNNNNNNNNNNNNNNNNNNNNNNNNNNNNNNNNNNNNNNNNNNNNNNNNNNNNNNNNNNNNNNNUCAUAGCAUCAUUUUCUGUCUGUGUUUUUUAGUACAAAAAGGAAAAGGAAAAAGGAAAAGGAAAAGGGGGAAAUGAAAAGGAAUUCAAAUUUUUAAUAUAUAUCUGCAAUCAUUUCUAUCUCAAUAUAGGGAUGGAGAAACCCUAAAUCUAUAUAAUAUAUAAAACAUGAGUUUAACGUAAACUUUUUCCUACCAAAAUUUCUCUCUCUUCACUUUUCUUUUUUAUUUGUUUCUCUUUUAAAAAUCAUCAAUUUUGACUUAUAAAAAUAUAUUCAAUAUAGAUGUUAAAUUAAAGAUAAAGAAAAGAUCUUUAAUUUGAUAUAAGAAUUAUAAAAAUUUAUUCUAAAAUAAAUAAGUUAUUAUCGUUUAUAGUCACUAAAUAUUAUUUUUUCUCUUCUCUCUUCUCUCUCAUCUAUUCUCUCCUCUCUCCUAAAUCUAUUCUUUUGAAUGUCACGUUUAUCUUCUUUCUAUUUGACUCCUUUUUCUAUAUUAUUUUAUUUUAUUUUUAUAUUUUUAUUAGAUAUCAUUUUUAAUAUUUAUGCAACUAAAAAUAUUAAACUUAUAAUUUGUUUCAUUUUAGAACUCUUUAACUUAAUAAAUUAAUUAGUUUUAUUUAUAAAAUAAAUCUCAUCUUUUCAGUCAAAAUCAAUUAUUUGGAUGUGCAUAAGAACUUUAUUUUAAAAUUUAUAUUCAAACAAAAUGACCGUAUAAAUAUGAUUUAAAUAUUCAUUCAAAAAUAUAUUAAACUAUAUGCAAAUAAAUAGUUUUGUACAUCUUAGAAUAUUAUAUGAAUACAUAAUGAUGCUCAUUAUCAUUUACUUGCUUUUGACUAUUUGAUGAUUUAUAUAUUUAUGCACAAUAUCAAAUUAUAAAUAAUUAAUUGGUAUUUCAAAAAUAAAAAAGUUCAAAUAUUUUAAGAUUCAUGUAUUUAUUGAGAUUAUGUCGUUCAUAACUUUAAUAUUUUUGAUUGAGAUCCAUGUUUACAUUUGUUUAUAUUUAAUAUGUAUAUUUAUUUAUAUAUUUAAAAUAUCGUUUACUUUCAAUAUCGAUCGUGCAUCGCACGAGCGGGCAUACUAGUUUCAUAAAAUUGGCAAUAUAUAGAAAAGUUAUUAUAAAAAAAUAGGGUUAUGGCAAAAAAAAAUACGAACUUUGAUAAAAAAAAAAUUGUAAUUUUCACUUGAAUUUUCAAUUAUGCCAAAAAAUACAUGAAGUUAUAUUUUAAUUAGUUGUAAUUUUCACCUGAGUUUGACUUCCAACGAAAUUAAAGCUUAGUUUAUUAGUCAUAAGUUCAUAUGGAGAUUUAAGAAGACAAAAACUAAUAGUAUAUUAGACUUAAUUGUGGAACUUGAUAAAUUUCUUCCACCUGAUCACAUUGAUCAAGAUUAUGCUUCGGAAUAUGAUGAAUAAACUCUAUUAUAUAUGUUAUAGAGCCAAAUACACAUAUGCUUGUGUUAAGUAAAACUAAUUGUUAAAAUAGGACCGUAACUUUAAGUGUUUUCAGAAAGGUGACUAUAUGUUAAGAAAUUUGAAAAUGAAGAGUAUAUGUUCCAUUUUUUACAAUUACACCUAUUUCGGACCCAAAACCAAUUAUUUGGGCUUUUGGUGACACCUAAAGCCUAUUGGUGACUUGGCAUGUCCCUUUUUUGGAUUUUUGUUUUCUUUUUUUGUAUUAUCGAUUUUUUUAGCACAUUUCAAAAUUAUAUUUUUUCCAUUUUUUGAAAUUACGCCUUUUUUAAAUAUUUUUUACACUUAAUAUUCAUAACAAAACUCAUUAUUUAGCACAUCAAUUAUGUUAAAUUGUCUAAAUGAUAAUACAAAGAAAUUUGUUCAGAUAAUAUUCGUAUUUCAAUAUAGUGCCCAUCCUCUUCUUAUUUAUUUAUAUUUUAGGCUGAAUUUUGCUAAUAAAAAAAUUAAGGGUUAAUGUGCAAAUGCACCCCUAAGAUAAAGGCCCCUACAGCGUACACCCCUCCAUACUUGACAUUGGAUCAAAUAAGUCCCCAAAAUCCAAAAAUUUAAGCAAUGAAACCCAUGGGAUUAACGGCGUCAGACGUCCGUUAGUUCUCUAAUUUUUUUUUAAUUUCGAAGUGCUGCGCAAUUUCCUCCGACACCGGGCAGCGGACUGCGACACCACCCUCAUUAAAGCCCUUGUGACAGGCAUAGACCUACCCAUAUCGGAGAAGUCCCCUUACAUAAUCCACUACAUCUCCAACAACACCCACAAUUCCCGACGCAAAGUCAAUCGACGUAGAAAGCUACACCCGCACCAUCGCAUUCCAAGAGAGAAUCAAAUUGUUGGAAGACAAAAUGAAAUACUACGAAAACCUAGCAGAGAAGUACAUUGGGAGCGACGUCUCCCCCGAUUUCUACGCAUGGGUUUUCCCCAAAUGUGACCACGUGGCAGUCAGGACGGGCACGAUUUCUUCUAAGCAAAACAUCAAACAGCUUCAAAGUGCAAUCAGAAACCGAGUGAAACACAAAAUUGAAGGCGGAGAGAUCGUGAAAGUGGAAGCUCACCUAAUCCCGAAGCACUUGCGGCCAAUCAAAGUCCGCGGAUGUGGCCGGGUACGUGACGAAAUGCUUCGGCGAGGGGAUAUACUUCGUGGCGAAGAGCGGGGGAAUGUGCGGCGAGGGGAUCGUGCAGGCGUCGGAGAACAGAAUGAGGAUGAUUGGGGAGGGCGAUCUAAGAAGGAUGAUGCGAGAUGCCGAAGAUGGCGGUGGACGAAUCGGCACUAGAGAUGGUUGUUUGCUUGGAGAGGGUGAAGAGGAAGAGGAGUGGAAGGGGACACGUGGCCUUUUGCUAUUGGACUUUUGGAAAUGUGGGAUACACGUUCGAAAUUAAAAAAAAAUUAAAGAAUUAACGGACGUCUGACGUUGUUAAUCCUGUGGGUUUAAUUGCAUAAAUUUUUGGACUUCAGGGGCUUAUUUGAUCCAAUGUUGAGUAUGGAGGGGUAUACGCUCUAGGGCCUCUACCUUAGGGGUGCAUUUGCACCUUAACCCAAAAAUUAAUAAUAUAAAAAAGGAAAAAAAAUUGUCAAAAAGCUGACAUGGCACAACCAAAUCAGUAACGGGCUAGAUUUGGGUUAUAUUUGAUUAUGCCCGUAUCUCCAUUCUCUUCAAUGGUUCUCUUCUGCUGCAGUCGUGGGGUUCGUCAAGGUGAUCCGUUGUCCCAUUCUUUUCGGCAUUGUCUAGGAUGUUUUGAGCCGCCUCCUGGCCUCGGCCCUCAGCUACAUAUAUAUCGGCGAUGAACAUGUCCCGCACUAUCAGCUUUCCUUCUCACUUCCUUUAUGCGGACGACGUCCUCCUUUUCUAUAAGGCUUCCAAGAAAAGUUGCAUUAUGAUUGAUUCGGUUUUACAGAUUUAAACUACAUCAUAUUGCUGUUAACUACGGCGUCAUCGUUUUGACGUUUUUACUCUAAUUAAUCUUUUAAUUAGGGCAUUAUACUAAGGGGAAACAUAAUUAUGGAAAUAAACGAGUUGCAAAGUUCGUGAUUUAAAAUAUUAAUUUUUAAAGUUCGUGUACAAAAUGAAAAAGUGACUUAAAUUCGUGUAUUUUGGUACAAUUAACCCUAAAAGAAAUAGAAGAGGACUAUCUUGAUGGGACGAAGAGAGAAUAUAAUAUCAUAUAAUUAUUCCUCAAUUAAUAAAAUAAAAGAAUACUUUUAUUCGAGAAUGCAUGCAUCAAUGGGAUACACAUACUUAUAAAAUAAUGCCCGGAUAUACCACAUAAUCUGUCGUAAAAUUAGAGUACUUUUACAUGUAGCAAACACAUAAAACAAAUGUCUUAUAUUUAUUCCUAUAUAUAUUGAACUUAACAUAUGGCAUUUCAUAUAUGACUUCGCCACAUGGUCAGCAGUAACUUAAUGUACCUGUAAGAACUAAUUAAUCAUGAGUAAUAUACUCUCUUUUUUGAACUAAAAAGGAAAAAGAAAUUGGCGAGCAAAAUUUUGAAAGAUGUCCUAACUUUUCAGCAUUCCUAUAAAACUGUGUGCCAAACCAUUGUACUAAUAUUUAAGGUUGUGAAAAAGAAGAAGAAAUAUGUUAAAUGAGUGUAGACAAAUAUUUGGAAUCAUGUCUUGAACAGUGAGGCUGCUGACAUUCGCAUCCCACCACUCAAAAAUCAAAAUACAGAAGAAAAAUGGAUGUAUACAUGAUUAAUGGGUAUGUGAGUGCAAGCAUUCAAUGUUUUUAUGUGCUACUCUUUUAUAUAGAGAUGGAUAUAAAGCAAUUCCCCAAUCUUGUUUCUCAAUUGUACUUAAAAUUCCAAAAUAGGAAUUCAGUUCAGUUACUUCAAUAUAAAUUAGCACGCGGAAUUCCACCUAAUUUUGAUUCGCCAAAAUGAUCGUGUUCAUACUUCACGUAUCGUAUAUUGCGACACGUGGCCUAUCUGAAACUGCAAAAACUUUUGCCUUCUCAUCACAUCUAUACUAUAUGUAUUAAUUCACACCCUCCCUUCCACUUCAAAUUUCGUACUUAUUUCUUUUCGGCACGAUAAUUUUAAAAAAAAUAAUUAAAUUAUUAAAUUUGUAAUGUAGAGUUGAAAAUAUGAUGUGAGCCUUAAAAAAUCUCAUUUUUUGGAAUUGAAUUUUUCCAUAAAGGUAAACAGGACAUUUGAAAUGUGACAACCCAAAAAAAAAAAAAACACUUGAAAUGGAACGAAGAGAAUAUUAAAAACGAAUAUUCAAAUUUCAAAAUUAAUUUUAAAUCGAUUUGACGAUAGCUUUCUCAAAUGAGUUUAAAACUUUUUGGCCUAAUAUAUCGUGUGGAUUGCAAAAAUAGAUCAUUUUUUGAAUUUGUAAAAAUAGGCAAAAUAUCUUAAAUUUUGAUAUGUUUGAGCCACAUUUGACUCCAAUUCGGCAUCCACAGGUCAUAUUUUGAGCUAUAUUUGGACUCAAAUGUUGCUCAAAAUAGCUUGAUAGACUCAAAUAGUUAAAUGUGGCUCACACACGUCGAAAUUUUGAAUAAUUGACCUAUUUUUAUAAGUUCAAAAAAAUUGACAUAUUUUUACAAACCGCUUUAAAAUAAUAACCUAAAAAAAUAAAUUCCUUUACAAAUUAAGAAAAGGUGAAAUGUCACAAUUUGGGCUCAAUUUAAUUUAAUAUAUACAUAUAUAACUGCUUCACUAUUCAGUGUGAACAUGAGUUAACGUGUACAUCGCUGUUGUGAUAAUGUAGGACAUGAGAGUCGUUCAAAUCUAUCAUUUUAUACAGAACCGAUCACCUACCCACCGUAGGCAGAUAUAAUGUGCCCACCACUGAUGUGGCAAUCUUAAUUAGAGUAAAAAUUUUUAAUUAGAGUAAGAUAUGUUGAUUCUCUUUUCAAAUUUAAAUUUUCACAUUUGUGCAUGGUGGGCAUAUUAUGUCUGCCCACGGUAAGUAGGUGAUCGAUUGUGUCAUUUUAUAAAUUACUAGUGUUGUUUUACUACCAUAAAUAAAUAAUUUCUUAACAAGGAGUAGAUAUUACGCUAACAAAACAUAUCCUCCACUUUUCUUAACAAUUUCUUACGCCACAUAUAUGAUUUGUGUGUUUUUUUUAACCUUUCUUUUAUUUUUCUCGUUUUCUUUGAAUUAUUACUGAUUAUAAAUAUCAAUUUUAUUAUUUCAUUAAGCUAAAUAUUAUAUUUAAUUAAAUUAAAUAUGUCUUUGAAACUAAUAUAUAUAUAUAUAGGGAGAGGUUCAAGAAAGAACCAUAAAUAAAAAAAGAACGGAGAACCAUUUUCAGCCAUUCGAUUAUCAAGAUCUACGGUGGAUGUAUCAUCUUGUUGGAUGAAUGCAGAUCCUGGGUUCGAAUCCUGAAGGAAGCAAUUUUUUUUUUUUUGGAGUGCAUUAAUUUUAACAGCGAAUGCAUCAAUUUUUACAGUGAAUGCAUUAGAUUUGAUCACUACAAAAAAAUGCGUUUUUGCCGGCGAAAACUACCGGCGGCUAUUUUGCCGUCGGUAGCUAACGGCGGCGGCAGUCCAGGCGACCCGAACUUUCGAAUUUACCGGCCAUCUACCCGACGGCAAUUCCCGCCGUUAGCUAGCGGCGGCGCCGCCGCCGUUAAUAUUAAAAUACGCAUUAAAUAAUUUAUUUUAUAGAAUUAACGGCGGCAAAGUUGCCGCCGCUAGCUAGCGGCGGCAUUUGCCGUCGGUAACCGUUUAAAUAUAGGGCAGCGGGUUCCUUCUUUUUUCAGUUUCUGCGCCGCACACACACGAAAAUCCACCCCCCCUCCCUGCCUGCUGCUGCUUCGCCGCCGCCGCCGACCGCCGCCACCCUAGGCAGGUAUCUCUCUCUCUCUCUCUCUCUCUCGUAUAUCUAUAUAUAUAUAUAUAUAUAUAUCAUUUUAAAAUAAAAUUAUUAUAUCUCAUUUUAAUUAUAUAUAUAUAAUUAUUUAAUUUUCACUUAUAUUCUUAAUUUAUUGUAGUUCGACGACCUCGUUUCGCUGCCUUCUUCACGACACCCGCCGAAAAACCACCAUCGUACGCUUUCUCUUAUUUAUUUAUUUAAUUAUUUAUGAAUUUAUUUAUGUAUUUAUAUGUUAAUUAAAUAGAUUUAUUUGUUAUAUCUAGUUAAUUAAUUUAUAAUUGGCUUUGUUUAUAAAUAAAUUAUAUGAAGCAUGAUUAAUUUUAAAUUAUAUUAAUUGAAGCAUGAUUAUUUUUAAUUAUAUUAGUUUAAGUUGUUAGUUUAAGUUGUUUGUUAGAAUAAUUUAUAUAUGUUGGAUAAUUUUGUUAAAUUAAAUGUUAUGUGCUAUGUGUUUAUGAAAUGUUAUGUUAUUAUAUAUAUUGUGGGAUAGAUUUAAUCAAUUUCUUAAGGAUCUUCUCCCUUUGGGAUAGAAAUUGAUUAUUUCUUAAGGAUCUUCUCCCAACAAAUGAUUGUUUUUAAUUUAAUUACCCUGAUUUUUAUUGCUUUUAUUUGUAUUGUAUUAUUGCUUCGACAUUGGGGGGCCGGGUAGACCUAGUAUAGGCUUAGUAAAUUAGGACCACUAUGGUCACUAUAGCUGCUGGUAGAGUCGAGCACUUGGUAGUUAGGAUAGUGGGGUUAUGCUGUCGAAAUUUUGUUAGAUUUCAAGUAAUUUAUUAUAUUUUUAUUUGUUUUUUUCAAUUUAGAAUUUGCAGAAUGAGUGAUAAUCGUAUGUGGAUGUACGCGAGAUNGGGUGAGAUCUUGAAGUAUUCACUCCCCUGAUAAUAUAUAGGUCUAAAUUUGGACCACACAAUGUGGCCACAUGGCUCACUAGGAGCGCGACACGUGGCAGAUGUCUUUCAAGACCUUCCAAAGUCUUCCUAGGCAAAAAAACACGGAGGGGUAAAAUAGUACUCCCUCCGUCCGCCAAGAUUAUGUCAGUUUCCUUUUAUGGCAAUGGUCCCACCAUCCUCUUUAAUAUUUUAUCCUUACUAACACUCUUUAUUUACAAAAAAACCACUCACAAUUCAAUCUCAACCACUCAUCUCAUAAAGUGGUGGGACCCUUUCUCCACUACAUCAAAAUCAUCACCAAUUUUAUUAAAUCAUGUGCCCAAGCAAAUUGCCAUAAUCUUGGCGGACGGAGGGAGUAAUUUUUAGAAAUUAUAAAAAAAAGUUUAUAUAUAUAUAUAUAUAUAUUUACCGAAAUUCAUUUUUUCCAUGGUCGUCUUCAAAAUUAUGCAUAUAAUUGAACACCAAUAUGCAUAAAGGUAAAUACAAAUAUUGCUGGGAACCCCAUGGAAUAUCAGGUUUUAUUUUGAUGAUACCAAAAUCCUUAGGUUUAAUUUGUAACAGACUAGAACUGUUUUGAACUCAAGUGUUAGAGUUCGUUUCUAGUUUAGGGUUUAGGGUUUAGGUUUAGUGUUAAAGUGUUAGACUAGAACUGUAUUGAAGGACCGAAGACUGAAGAUACCAACUGAAGUAUCAGUUGAAGAAUCAGUUCAGAAACUGAUUACUUAAUGCGUGCUUCGAGGACUCAGCAGACUGAUACUAAAGUCAAGUAUCAGUUAAACAUUCCUCCUCAGACUGAACUUUCAACGUUCAAAGGAAGCCACGUGCUUACACAGUACAACCGCAUUAAAUGCAGAGAUCUCAGGAUCAUCCCUCUCUGCAGAGGUCAUUCCUAUUUGGUGGCUACUUUAUCAGAGACGUCACAUCUCCUGUCCCUCAAGAGAGCCGUUUCCACCAAACAAGGAACCUCGAAGAUUGAAGCCUCAGCCCAAAUUCGAAUUGCUCUCCAACGGAAGAAAUCUUGAAGACGUUCUCCGCCAACGGAUCUAUUCAAGACCUCUCCAAUAAAUAGCGCUCGAGGAUCAACUUCAAUCUUCACCGAUUCAACGACCUAAGCUGAAGCUCUGCCGAAAUUGUUACUCAGCCCAAAGCUUAAUCUCCCCAAAGCUUGAAUCGAAGAAGAGAAUUCCAAAGCCAAAAUCAGUCACUACUGAUUACACACAUUCUCUUAGACCUUAGGCAUAUAUCUGUUUACCCAGAAGCCCAGGUCAAAACUUGCUCCAAAGAACUUGUUCUUUGAAGUCUAGUUGGCAAGUUUUUCAAACCUCCUUUCGUAAGAAAGAAACCGAGUGUUUGAGUGAAAAGGAGUUCAGGAAGGUACUCUGACUCCGUGAGAUCCUAGUGCAAGGUCGUGCUAGGAGUGAGAAAUCCGACGCGAGUGAAGCGUGGGUACUGAAGUAAGGUCUCUUCAGUGAAACGGUUGUGUGCACCCGGUAAGCACACGGUUCGGUUUGCAGUGCACCAGUUAAGCACUUGCGGAGUGGAUUGUUGGUCUGAUCAACCGACCGUGGAUGUAGGAAAAGGUUUUCCGAACCACGUAAAACUCUCUGUGUUAUUUACAGCUUUCAGUCUUUCCAUUCUUAUCUGUGUUCUUACUGUUGAUAAACUGAAUACUGAAUAACCGCAAAGAGAAACCUAAGACUAACAACGUGCUCAACCGAGGCUAUUCCGAAACAAGUUUAUUUCCGCUGCGUAUGAUAUCAGUCUGACUGAUCUAUCUUCUGAUAGUCAGGAAGAUUUAUAUCAUCUCUGUUUUAGCAAACUCGACUGAAGCCCUUACGUGCAUCAGUUAAGUUCCAGUGACUUAACUGAUAACUCAUUACUGAAGAGUUUUCAGUAUCAGUCGUCAACCCUGUUUGGUCAAAACUCUUUUCAGUCAACAGGUGUCAUAGUUUGCUUGUAAAGUUUCGUUUUGAUCUCAUUCUUGAGAUCCCUCUGCUUUUAGAGGAAAUCGAGAAAAAUAGCCCAUAGGUGUAUCCCCCCCCCAUACACCUAUUCGAGACCCUCCGGACCUAACAAAUAUGCAUGAAGCUGGAUAGAAAGAUGCACGGCCGUUUGAUGCAUCUCGAUGUCGAAUAAUGUUAUGCAUAUUUGUGUGUAACGUUAUGCAUAUUUAUGUUUUCCUUUAUGCAUAUUCGUGUUAAACUAUAUGCAUAGUACUAUGCGACACCGUCAGGUAGCUCUCACUGUUGGUCACUUGACGGAUCAUACUGAUAUUUUCUCAUGCAUAUUUCUAUCAAAUGUUAUGCAUAUUAGAGUUUAUGUUUAUGCAUAUUGUGUUUCAAUUAUAUACAUAAUUUUGACGAUGAUCGCGGAAAAAAAAUGAAUUUUCGGCGUAAAAAAAUAAAAAAUAUAUACUCCCUCCGUUCACGAUAUCGUUUCCACAUUGUGGACGACGCGAGUUUUAAGAAAAAUGAUGGAUGUAGUAGAUAAUAGUGGAUAUUGUAGUGAGUGGAGUUUGAGCCCCACAAUAAAGGCAUAUUUUAAUGAAAAUAUAAGGUUAAGAGAAUAAAUUGCAUAUGUGGGCUUACAACAAUAAAUGGAAGUGGAAACGAUAUCGCGGACUGAGGGAGUAUAUAUAUAUUUUUUAAAAUUUUAAAUUUUUAUUCCUAUUUUAUCCCUAUGUGUAUUUUACCUUAAAAGUCAUUGGAAGGCAUCCGCCACGUGUAACUCUCCUAGUGCAUCACAUACACAUCUUAUAUAUAUAUGGACCAUAUUUAGGAUCUAUAUACUAUAUGAAAAGUAUAUAUGUAUAUAUACUAAUAUUGCAUAAAAUCACAGUGGGAUCCAAAUUGAAAUUAAUAAAAGUUAAUUUAGGAUAUUGAUGAGGAGUAAUAUAUGCGGAACAGAGGAAUGACUUUACCAGGGGAAUCACGGGGAGCAGCGAGAUAGCUUUCGCCAGAGGAAUCACACUCGCCAGAGGAAUCACACUCGCCAGAGGAAUCACACUCGUCAGAGGAAUCACACUCGCCAGAGGAAUCACACUCGCCAGAGGAAUCACACUCGUCAGAGGAAUCACACUCGCCAGAGGAAUCAUACUCGCCAGAGGAAUCAUACUCGCCAGAGGAAUCAUACUUGCCAGAGGAAUAAUACUUAAUCAGAGGAAAGGUCCUUGCCAGAGGGAAGGCUUGCGCCAGAGGAAUCGUCCACCUCACCAGUGAAUCUACCUUUUUGCCCCUGACCACGCGGAGUGCAUGUUCUUAGAUAGGAGUUUACUAUUUUGCCCCCGUCCAUGCGAUGAGCGUGUUCAGGGAGCGAAAUUACUUUCUUAUCCUUAGCUUGUAUUCCUCUAUAAAUACUCGUGCAUACACACGUUGUAGGAGGAUCUCAUGAUUCAUUCAUCUCUUGUAAAAUGUAAUUCUCUCGAAGUAUAGUGAAAAAAAACCCCAACACCCCGUGGACGUAGGUCUUCUCGACCGAACCACGUAAAUUCGGUGUCGUUUACUGCUUUCUAGUUUAGGUGUAGGUUUCAUGUUUGACCAAAUACAUAGAAAUUAAACAAAAUUGAAAAUUUACAUUAUAUAAUACAAAAAAAUAGGAAUUAAAAAAACAAAAGAGUUUCAUAUCAUACAGUUUAUAUUAUAAGACGGUACAACAUAAAUAUAAUGAUAUACAUAUAAUNCUCGCCAGAGGAGUCAGCAAAAUCCUCGCCAGAGGAGUCAGCGAAAUCCCCGCCAGAGGAGUCAGCGAAGUCCUCACCAGAGGAAUCACACUCGUCAGAGGAAUCCAUACCUCGCCAGAGGAAUCACACUCGCCAGAGGAAUCACACUCGUCAGAGGAAUCAUACUCGCCAGAGGAAUCAUACUGCCAGAGGAAUAAUACUAAUCAGAGGAAGGUCCUUGCCAGAGGGAAGGCUUGCGCCAGAGGAAUCGUCCACCUCACCAGUGAAUCUACCUUUUUGCCCCUGACCACGCGGAGUGCAUGUUCUUAGAUAGGAGUUUACUAUUUUGCCCCCGUCCAUGCGAGGAGCGUGUUCAGGGAGCGAAAUUACUUUCUUAUCCUUAGCUUGUAUUCCUCUAUAAAUACUCGUGCAUACACACGUUGUAGGGGGAUCUGAUUAUUCAUUCAUCUCUUGUAAAAUGUAAUUAUCUCGAAGUAUAGUGGAAGAACUCGAAGAACACCCGUGGAUGUAGGUCUUAACGACCGAACCACGUAAAUCCUGUCUCGAUUACUGCUUUUUAGAUUAGGCGUUGAUUUCAUGCUUCACCAGAUAUUAACUAAUUUAAUAAAAUAAAAUGAAUACUAAAAUUAUUUCAUAUUGUUGUUACUUCAUAUAUGAAUACUAAUUUAAUAUAUUUAUAUAGACAUAUAAAUAUAUAUUUAUUAGAAUAUUGUCAUUGAUUCGUAUAAAAUAAUAUAGUGUAUAUACAUAUAUAUAUAGGGUCUUUACAAACGUGGGCCAUUCAGGGUAGAUGUCCUCACACAAGUAGUAGCCUAUCUGAUAAUAGUGUUGGUUCACUUCAAACGUCACCGGUGAUGAUGUUUCUUCCAAGAUGUCGGCGAACAGAGGCGAUUGGUUGAAAAUGUUUAUAUCGUUGUUUGAUCCGAAAACAACGAAGAAGGCAUGCCAAAUCCACAAAUCAUGGAAGGCAACAACCUCUAGAAUCAAGGUGGACUCUCCUUGAUCACCUCGUGUAAAUGCACCAUGCCACGCAUUUGGGCAAUUCUGCCAAGCCCAAUGCAUGCAAUCCAGACUCCCGAGCAUCCCUGAAAAUCCAUGUCGUGUCUUGUGCAUUUGAAGCAGUCGUGUGACGUCCGCUGGUGUAGGGUGUUGAAGAUACUCAGCACUGUAUGCUCGAAUGAUAGCUUUGCAAAAUUUCUUGUGGCAUAGCUGCCGCGUAGUGUUCGCAAUCUGGAAAUACUUGUCAAAAGUAUCCACAAAAACACUGGUAGCUAAUUGUAGAAUAGUCACCGUAUAUUUCUACAAUGGCGUAAGCGGGUCCCGUCUCAUACCAUCCACCCUCAUUCUCUUAUUUAUUUUGAGAAAAAAAAUUGUACACGUAUGAUUUGAAUUUUUAUUUUUCCUCUUUAGUUAGAUUGUUGAUAAUGAUUAAUGAAUUUUGAAGCUUUCAUCCCAUUAAAAAUAAUAAGUAAAACAAGUGAUCAAUAAUUGUCAUUCAAAUAAUGUAUCUCGAUUUGAUGAACCAUGAUCAUGAUGUAAGAAAAGGUGUGAAUUAAGAAUGAAAAGACAAUGAAUAUAUAUUGUUGUAAAUUAUGAAGUGGAUGUUACAUGAAUAUAUAGGGUUCAAGUAUGCAUGGCAUGAUCUGGACCAUCUCCCACUCUAAAUAUAAGGGGGACAUGACUUUUCCCCCACCCCCGCUUUUUAGUACAAAAUUCAUGUGCAAAUCCAAUCCUUAAAUUAAUAUUCCACUGCUUCUUCUUUAUUGCGUACUUUUAUAUUUAGUAUAGUAUUAUUUAUUAAAGGGAGAGGUAGCAAAUAUCAUAUCAUAUAAUUUAUUAAUAUAUUUAUCUUUUUAUUUUGAGCUGUCAGUCUCUCAAUAUUUCAUAAGGAAUGUAAAAUUUCACUUAUUCCUUAAGUAGGUCCCACGCUGUGUAAAGUGCCAAUUGAGAGAUAAGAAGAGCAAAAUAUGAAAUAUUUUAUAUAUAACCGAUGAUUGAAUCUACAAAAUAACACAUAUAAAUCUUAAAAAUAUCAAUGCUCAAAUUAUUAGCAUCCAUAUUAAUUAAAUGCACGUAGAACUAAAAGAAGCAAUUAAAAACGAAGAACGAAACUUGGCUGCUUCUACAAAGUUUGAGACAAUAUUUUUGGGAUUAUAUCAAAUAAAAUGAAAAUUCAUUAAAAAUUAAUACCAAAUAAUGGAAGUUCAUUCUUACAUUGAUAAAUAGAGUGGGACUCGUUUGAGAAAUAGAAAAAAAAAAUGAAAAAUAUUGGACGAAGUUAAGUGUUCAUCAAGAAUAGGGGGGAUUUUGCACUCCUUACGAGAUGUUAAGGGGCUAACAGCCCAAAAUCAAGAGAUUAAACUAAAUAUGUUAGGGGUUAUAUGAUAGGGGACUAUUUACUGCUUUCCCAUUUAUUAAAAAAUUGACUAAUUCGUGGAACAUAUAAUAAGACUUAUGCUGCAAUGAGUACUACGUGAAACAUAAAUUAUCACACGAACAUAAAUAAAUAGAUAUAGAAAAAAUGAUCGGUGGUAAAAUACAAUGCAUUUUUGUGUACAAUGUUAUGCAUUUUUGUGUGCAAUGUCAUGCAGUGCAAACUCAUGCAUCUAAAACAUGUCAGCUUCCAAAAAUCUAAAAAGAAUAAUAUCUGAGACUCGACUUUUCGAAUCUGGAACCUGCGCCUGGCCUGGUCUGCCAGUAAUAAAAUAUUUUUUUUUAAUAUUCAGAAUUUUAAUUCUGAUUUUACCCAUGCACGGAUGUUGGCUUGGAAGCCAUCUACCACAUGUGACGAUCUCGGUGCGCCACAUAAACAAAAUGUGUGCUCUAGAAUCUAGAAUUGAUACUGUAUACUACUUAAGUCUUGGGUAUUACAUGAUCUUGUUCCUAUAUAUAUAUAUAUGGGAAGAAGAUCAAGUGAAAAUGGACAAAUGUGAUUAGAAAUGAGAAUGAAUAUGUAACGUUGGAUUUUCAAAUCCCAUGACUGAUAUUUACCUAGAUGGACAAAAAUUUACCUAGUUCAAUCUUGGAGGAGCAAAAUUUAUUAAUUAAUUGAAUAUGUUAUUCUCAUUACAACAGCUUAUGCAACACUAUAUUUUGACUUGAAUCAUUCUACUUCUCGAGAAAGCAAUUAUGUAGUGUUGAACAUAAGUAUUGUGUUAAUAACAUUUAUUGACUUAUUCGUUAAUCUCAUUUCACACUAUUAAUUUGAACGAAUAUCAGACGUAAGAUUUAAAUAUGUAAUUUUCCAAAUUCAUUCUCAUUUUCUACUAUAUAAUUGGUUAUGAGUUGGCCAAUAGUUAACCAAUUUUUGAGUGUUGAAGAUAUUUAAUUAGUGAAACUAAAUAGCAUAGGAUCGAUCUACGUUUUGAAUAGAUGAACAUACUAUAUUUAUUUACUCAAAAUCGAUUUUCGGUGAGUGAGAAAUAACUAAUUGAAGUUGGAUAUUUGAAAUAUAGAGUUGUGGGAAAAUGAUAAGAAUUAAAGAGAUAUUAAUGUUUAUCCCACAUUCAUUUGUGAGGAAUAAUUAAUCUAGGAUAUAAGUUAUUACAUCAGUAGUACAUGUAAUAAAACUGUGUGCACAUGUGAUGAGCUGCAAAGCCCACACGCCGCCGCCGCUACACUCGCCCGGCCCCUGGCCGUGGACUUGGAUCUUGGUCUUUGGGCCAGACCUUAGCCCCCAAUGGACUUGUUCUUUAAUUUGGACCACGUUGGUCUCGCGUUAGGUUAUUUUGGACCACCGAGGGAGUUACAUGGCUAAAUUCAAACAACAUUUUUAGCUGCACUUGAAUUCACCCUUAAUGGGAGUAAUGGCUACCGGCUCCCCAAUAGGCGGGAUGUGCCUAUAAAUAGGAUAGCCACUCCAUGCAUCGACACACGAGAAAUUCUGCAUAACAAGCACUAUCUGCACUCCUGCAUUCAUAUAGUCCAGAUCUAGAGCCCUAUUAUUGCCUCGUCUCAAUUCGUUGGAGCUCGUUGGUUUAUGGUGCUACUAUCCUCGAGACGAAGCUAUUUCAUCUUUAGAGACGACACGCCAAACUAUAAACACUAUUGGGGCGUAUCUCGUCUUACGGACAUGAUCCUCCUCGAUCAAUUCGGCUAUCUAGUUUUAGGGUUCUUUAUUUUGUAAUCUCUAUUCCGUUUGUUUCAUUGUAAUUCUGAUCUUCUAUAUUUCCCGUUUCAUUUGUAAUCGUCAGCAAGCUCUAUUUUCAAAACACACACACACACAUAUAUAUAGUUAUAUAUAUAAUUCUCACUAAAAAAAAUCUCACUGUAAUAACAUUGUCAGUGAAUCCUUUUUAUAUAGAUGUAUUUUGAAUUGUGAAGAUAUGGAAAUAAUGGAAUGUGACAUAUUUUGGCUGCUAUAACACCGCCACAACCACCACUAUUUCCUAAUUCUAAUACAGACAUAUGAAUUUAUUACAGGUACCAGACCACCAAACAUAAUGCUACGCUGUUGCUCAUACAUUCUGCAACAAUUAUCAAAAUCUGUUAUUUUCUUAUCUUGCGUACGUAUCGAAUCUAUAACAACAGAUUCUGCUUCAUCUUUCAACCCAACAAAAUAAUUCAGAGAUUCUGAUUGGCUGGAAGCUUGAAUUAUUACUGAAGAAAUCUAAAUAGAAAAUAUAUAGUUAUCUUCUGUCGUGAGCAUUUUUUUCUAGAAAAGCGUGAUUUGG
Molecule: long non-coding RNA, 45334 nt
Filed under: Salvia miltiorrhiza (redroot sage)
Lineage: Eukaryota; Viridiplantae; Streptophyta; Magnoliopsida; Lamiales; Lamiaceae
Source: RNAcentral